This 52726-nucleotide long non-coding RNA is filed under the name Citrus x clementina. RNAcentral's name for it is "Citrus clementina (C. clementina) long non-coding RNA (CCLE_LNC002349)". The record is from RNAcentral. Lineage: Eukaryota; Viridiplantae; Streptophyta; Magnoliopsida; Sapindales; Rutaceae.
AGCUUGUGGUUGGUGUUGAAAAAGAAGUGAAAAGCCUUACCAGCCACCUUCAAGCCAUUCAAGCUGUUAGCGAUGAUGCAGAGGAAAAGCAAGUGAAGGACAAAGCUAUUAGACUUUGGCUGGGUAGGCUCAAGUACGCAUCCUACGACAUUGAAGAUGUGUUGGAUGAAUGGAUCACGGCAAGAGGCAAAUUGCAAAUUAAGGGUGGCGCUGAUAAGAAAAAGAAGGUUUGUUUCUGCUUUCCCGCCUCUUGUUUUGGAUUCAAACAAGUCUUUCUACGUCAUGACAUUGCCAACAAGAUCAAAGAAGUCAGUGAAGAGCUACAUGAUAUUGCCACCCAAAAAGACAUGUUUAAAUUUGAGAGUAGCAGUAAAAGUAGUGAAAGACCAAGGCGUGUGCAGAGUACCUCCUUGAUUGAUGAGGAAGAGAUUUGUGGUAGAGUUGGUGAGAGGAAUGCACUCUUAAGCAUGCUGUUGUGUGAGAGCAGUGAGCAACAAAAAGGCCUUCAUAUCAUCUCAAUUGUUGGUAUGGGAGGCAUCGGGAAAACAACUCUUGCACAACUAGCAUGUAAUCAUGUUGAGGUAAAGAGAGAGUUUGACAAAAUUUUAUGGGUGUGUGUAUCAGAAACUUUUGACGAGUUUAGGAUUGCCAAAGCGAUGCUUGAAGCUUUGACUGGUUCAACUUCUAAUUUAGAUGCAUUGCAAUCUCUUCUUAUAAGUAUUGAUGAAUCUAUUGCGGGAAAGAGAUUUCUUCUUGUCUUAGAUGACGUGUGGGACGGAGAUUACAUUAAAUGGGAACCAUUCUACCGUUGCCUAAAGAAAGGUCUCCAUGGAAGUAAAAUUUUAAUUACGACACGUAAGGAGUCAAUUGUGAGCAUGAUGAGAUCCACAGAUAUUAUCUCUAUCAAGGAAUUGGCUGAAGAAGAAUGUUGGGCAUUGUUUAAGCGGUUAGCAUUUUUCGGUCGUUCCACUGAGGAGUGUGAAAAAUUGGAACAAACUGGUCAAAGAAUUGCAAGAAAGUGUAAAGGUUUACCUCUUGCUGCAAAGACAAUGGGAAGUCUCAUGAGCUCUAAAAAAAUUGAAGAAGAGUGGAAAAGAAUUUUAAAUAGUGAUUUAUGGAAGGUAGAAGAGAUCGAGAAAGGUGUUCUAACCCCUUUGUGGUUGAGUUAUAACGAUUUGCCAUCUAGAGUAAAAAGAUGUUUCUCGUAUUGUGCUGUCUUUCCAAAAGACUACAAUAUAGAAAAAGACAAACUAAUUACUUUGUGGAUGGCUCAAGGUUAUCUUAGUGCAGAAGCAGCAGAACAAGAUGAGGAGUUGGAGACUAUAGGUGAAGAGUAUUUUGGCAUCUUAGCUUCUCGCUCUUUCUUUCAAGAGUUUGAGAAACGUUAUGAUAAUCGUAUUAUAGCGUGCAAGAUGCAUGAUAUGGUACAUGAUUUUGCCCAAUUUGUUAGUCAAAAUGAAUGUUUUUCGUUGGAAGUUAAUGGUAGUGAGGAACUAAACGUCACAAACUCUACAAACUCUCUUGAUGAGAAGGUCCGUCAUUUAAUGUUAAUCUUUAGUAAAGGGGCUUCAUUACCGGUUUCCACUCUUAGAGUUAAAAGAAUGCGUACCCUCUUAAUUAACGAUAGUAGAUCUGAUCAUUCAUUAUUAAAUGGUGAGAUCCUAGAAGAAUUAUUUAGGGAGUUGACAAGUUUAAGGGCAUUAGAUUUUGGCAAAUCGUAUAACUCAAGUUGGUAUUCGACUCUGGAGAUUCCGAGAAACAUAGAAAAGCUGGUACAUUUAAGAUACCUUAAUUUGUUUUAUCAGGGAAUAAAGAAACUACCGGAGACAUUAUGCGAGUUGUAUAAUCUAGAAAAGUUAGAUAUUAGUUUAUGUUUUAAUCUUAAAGAAUUACCUGAAGGGAUUGGGAAGUUAAUAAACAUGAAGCAUUUACGAAAUAGAGGUACUAGUUCUUUAAGGUACAUGCCAGUAGGGAUUGGGAGAUUAACGGGUCUCAGGACCUUGGAUGAGUUCCACGUGAGUGGAGGAGGAGGUGUUGAUUGUAGGAAAGCAUGUAGGCUUGAAUCUCUCAAAAACUUGGAAAACCUUCGAGUGUGUGGUAUAUGUAGACUGGGUGAUGUAUCAGAAGUGGGCGAGGCUAAGCGAUUAGAACUUGACAAAAAGAAAUACCUCUCUUGUUUGAGACUUCGGUUUGAUAAGAAGAAAGAAGAAGGAGAAAGGAGGAAGAACGAGUACGAUCAACUUCUUCUUGAAGCCCUACAACCACCUCUCAAUUUAAAGGAAUUAGAGAUAGAGUACUACCGAGGCAACACUGUUUUCCCCAGCUGGAUGACGUCAUUAACCAACUUAAAGAGUUUAGAUCUCUCUUCCUGUGAAAAUUGCGAGCAGCUGCCUCCUUUGGGAAAAUUGCCAUCCCUUGAAAAUCUCCACAUAUAUCGCAUGGAGAGUGUGAAAAGAGUGGGUGAUGAAUUUUUGGGGAUAGAAAGUGAUCAUCAUGGCUCAUCUUCAUCGGUUAUUAUUGCCUUCCCCAAAUUGAAAUCACUCACAAUUUCUUUGAUGCUGGAAUUGGAGGAGUGGGAUUAUGGGAUUACAAGAACGGGAAACACCGUCAUCAUCAUCAUGCCACGUCUUUCUUCCUUGACAAUUGGGAAUAGUCCCAAAUUAAAGGCACUGCCCAACCACAUUCAUCAAACGACAACAUUGAAGACAUUGCGCAUUUGGAGGUGUGACCUUCUGGAAGAACGUUACCGCAAGGGGGAAGGAGAAGACUGGCCUAAGAUAUCACACAUUCCCAAUCUCCAUUUUGGGCUUUGACAAGUAAUUUCUUCUCUUACUCUGAUUUGCUUUGUUGUUGUUUUUAAUCUAAUUAAGAAGCGUAAAUAGCAUUUUGAAUCAAACUCUAUAUCAGAAAUCUGCAAUACUUACUUUCUAAUAUUCUGAUUUUCAUAUCCUAUGAAUAUACGAUUUUUAAUUUGUGGGAUGGGUAACGUUACUGUAAAAGAUUAUUAAUGCAAUAUGAGUAAUUCUUUUGCAGGACAAGUGGCCUACAUUUAGUUUGGCUUUGGAGUUGAAUAAUAACCUUUCGAGGUCCCGACAACCAAAAAACGAAACUUAAUUUGCCACAGAUUGCACGUAUUGCCAUUAUUGACAAUUUUCUGCACAAGCUUAGGUUGAUGUCAAAAGAGGUAAAUUAUUGGCAUGCCUGACUAUUUUGACCAUUACAUGAUUCAUAAGUUUACAUUAAUUUUGAUUUUGAGUUGAGUGAUUAAUUUUCUAGGUUUGCUUACUUUAACUGGGUGACCAAUUUCUUGUAACCAAAUGUAUGAUGUGAUGCAGGAAGCAGGGCAGGACAUGAAAAGAGAAGCUUAUUAGAGGAAGGAUUGCCAGUAACAGAAUCCAAAGAAAAAGAAACCAUUUCGAGGCAGCAGUUGGCAGUUGGCAGUGAAUGGAGCCCCUUGAAAAAACCCCCAAGCGGUUGCACUGCAAUUACGAUCAUCCUCGGCCUCAGGUAAUUUCUUCUCCUGCAUUUUUGUUAUUUGCUAUCAAGUGACUAUUUUAAGUAUGAUUGCAUUAAGCUGCUGCUGGGAAAUUUGAGGUUUUGAUGACUGCCCAUGCUAUUGUAAGAAGCUGCGGUUCUUUUCAUCAGCCUGAACCUGGACCUGCCGCUAUGGAUAACUCAGUUUUUCUUUUUUUUAAUCAACUGCCAUCUUUUCCACUGUUUAGAAACUCUUUAAGAUUAAACUUUAGUAAAGUUGUUUUAGUUAUUCAUGUAAUCAGGCUGAGGAUACUUAGCUGCCUAUUUAGGCAAAUGUCAGAAUUUAGUUUGUUCGCUGGGUACUGGUGGGGACUGGCAAAGGAUGAUGAGAUAGUUUUUUGAGUGAGUAAAUUUUGGGAGCUUGAGUGUAUUGGGAUUUGCAAUUACAAUCAUCGUCUGCCUCAGGUGAUUCUUUUUCCUGCUCUGUCAUUGUUUGUUCUCUAAUUCAAAAGCAUAAAAUAUUUCAAUCAAUUUUUAUGCCAGGAAUAUGCAAAAGUUUCUAAUAUUUUAUUUCCAUCUGUUACAAGAUCAAACUGAAGCAGAACUCAAACAAAAGUAUGCUACUUCUUGCGGAAAUCUUGCCUUUGUUCAGAUUAUGAAACCAUUUCCAUGCAGCAAAUUCAUCCAAAAGUUUGAAUAAGUUUCACGGUUGGACACUGUUGGCUUCUUUUUCUUCUGGGGUGCAUUUAGGUGCUAUCAAGUGACAGCUGUAAGUAUGAUUGCACUAAGCUGCUGCUGGGAAAUUUGAGGUUUUGAUGGCUGCCCAUGUUAUUUUCAAUAAACUAUUGAUGUAAGAAGCUGUGGUUCUUUUCAUCAGCUUGAACCUGAAACUGUCGCUAUGGAUAACUCAGGUUUUUGUUAUCAACUAUAUCAUCUUUUUCACUAUUUUGAAACUCUUAAGAUUAAACUUUAGUAAAGUUGUUUCAGCUAUUCAAAUGAAAAACUCAUUGAUUUGAGAAUUCCUUCAUUAUUGUUUCUAAUUACAAUGCUAACGAUCCAGAUAAAAUAAUAUUUAAUCGGCGAAGGUGUCCCUUGGAAGUACAUCCUUCUUUUUCUUUUAUUAUAUCAAUUCUUGCAAUGAGCUUAGUGAAGCUGUUGUGCUAAUCAUGCCACUGCAUAAUUUGGCCCCUAAUGUGGGUACUCUGUUACAUUGUUCUGCAAAUUCUCCAGAAGUUAAAAUCAAUAAAUUUUCUAUUAGCUCUAGUGCUUUGACCUAAAUGCUAUUCUAUAUUCUGAUUACAAUGUUUUAACCUUUAAAUUAACUACCCCUAGAUGUUGGAUUUUCUAGAACUUCAAAAUGAUUAAUGGAGAAAGAUCCCAUUAUCGUUAUUGCUAUAAGAAAUUGAUUUAUGCAUCCAAAGAUACAUUAUAUAUUUCUGUGUCUCUAUUUAUAGAUGACAUUUAAGCAUCCAUAAACCGUCAGACAGAGGAAGGGGGUUCAGUGCAAAGAUUCUGUUGACCUAGGGUUGACUGCAUAUGUCACUUGUUCGCAAUCUAUUAUUUAUUUUAUAUUUUGAAGAAUUUAAUGGGUAAUCCUAAUUGUUUGUUUUGGCAGGUAUGUGUUGUUAUCUCCUUCUAUCUAACAGUCGUACCUAAAUAGCAUAGUUUCAUCUGUGUUACCAUGUGAUGUACAUAAUUUCACAUUUGCCUCAGAUUAAGCUUAAUUUCCCACAGAAUAGAGCUGUCGCGACUGGACUUAGGUUGAUGUCCAAAGAGGUAAAUUAUUGGUAUGCCUAGAUAAUUUGGCCAUUUCCUAAUUCAUAAGUCUACAUUAAUUUUGAUUUUGAGUUGACUGAUUUCUUUUCAAGGUCUGCUUCCUUAACGGAGUGACCAAUGUUUUUCAACUAAAUUUAUCAUAUGAUGCAGGAAGCAGGGCAGGAUAUGCAAUGAGAAUCUCAUUGGUGGAAGUAUUGCCAGUAACAGAACCCAAAGAAAAUGAAACUGUUUCAAGGCAGCAGUUGGCAGUUGCAAGUGAAUGGAGGCCCUUGACAAAAUUCUCAAGCGGUUGCAAUGCAAUUACGAUCAUCCUCAGCCUCAGGUAAUUUCUUCUCCUGCUUUGUAUUUAUUUGUUAUCUAAUUAGGAAGCGUAAAGUAUCUUGAAUCAUUUUCUGUAUCUGGAAUAUAUGCAAGAGUUUCUAAAAUUUUGAUAUGAGUGUGAUGAUGGUAAUUUCUGUUUUCUGUCUGUCUUCAAAUGUUAGAAAACUUUCAUUGAGACGCUUGAACCGAGUCAUUUUUGACAAGUGAAGUGCUGAAGAGUGAAGAGUAAGAAUGGUGCUAGAUUGGGGAAUAAAGCAAAAGGAGGUAAAUUAUUGGCAGCUUCUUCAGCCUUAUUUUCUUUGGACCAGUGCCUAACUCACAAGUCUCCAUAAUUCGGCUUUUGACCAGUUGAUAGAUAAAAUUUUAAUUUCAUUGGUGCUAAUGUACCCGUGAAGCAGGCAGAGAAGGACUGUGGAAAAGAGAAGGUUUUUAGUGAAAGCUUAAACUCAGGUAAUUCUAAAAAUUAUAUGUUUUGGCUGAUUUAUCUAAAUCAGGAAAUUUUAUUUCCAUCUGUUACAAUAAAACAGAAACAGAACACAAAGAAAAAUAUUCUACUUCUUGUGGCAAUCUUGCCUUCAUUCAGACUAUGAAACCAUUUCCUUUCACCAAUUUCUUCCAAAAUUUUGAACACGUUUCAUGGUUGGACAUAGUUAUCUUCUUUUUCUUUUGGUGCAUUUAGGUACUAUCAAGUGACAGCCAUAAGUAUGAUUGCAUUGUUGGGAAAUUUUAGGUUUUGAUGGCUCCCCAUGUUAUUGCCAAGAAAUUUUAAGUCCUCAUGUCAGAAGCUGCGUUUCUUUUCAUCAGCCUGAACCCGAACCUGUCACUAUGGAUAACUGAGGUUUUUGUCAUCAACUAUAUCAUCUUUUUCACUGUUUUGAAACUCUUAAGAUUAAACUGUUGAGAAGUCAAUAUUAGCCCAAAUAAGUCCACACCUAAAUUAAUUUGAUGUCAUUGCUUACAUCAAUUUAGUUAGGUGAAUAUUAGCCCAAAUAAGUCCACACCUAAAUUAAUUUGAUGUCAUUGCUUACAUCAAUUUAGUUAGGUGAAAAUUAGGUAUUUUUCCCAUGUUUAAUUUCAAUGGUUUAAAUUAGUUUGUGGUUAUUUUAAUGAGUGGUUUAGAUUGUUUCUUGUAACCUAUAAAUACCUCAUUUGUAUUUGAGUUUUAUUAUUCAACAAUAAAAAGCUUUAUUAUAAGCAUUUGAAAGCUUUCUUAAGAGUUCUUCUCUUUUUGCAAUUUUGUGAGAUUAUUCUAAAGAGAGUUUUUCUUCUUCUUGAUCAAUUAGAGUUUUUACUCUAUUUUGAUUCAACAUUUGGUAUCAGAGCAUUGGUUGUAAAGUCUCUUGAAAUUCCGAGUAUGCUCUGUGGUUGCAGUUUUGACUGAUCUUCCACAUCAGAAAAGAUUUCUUGAGAUUAUUGCUGGGGUUAUCACAAACCUUGAGAGGGAGCUUCUUUGUGUCAAGAGUAGUGUAUUAUUCUGCACGGUAGUCACUCAAGAUUGUUCGGUGUAGUCAAAGUCUUGUCGAUACGAUGGGUGAUCUUCAAGUUGUUGGAGGAAUCAAGAAGCUCAACAACCAAAACUAUAACACGUGGGCAACGUGUAUAGAAUCUUACCUUCAAGGUCAAGACUUGUGGGAGGUUGUCGGUGGUAGUGAAGUUACACAACCGGCAGCGGAAGAUGCUAACGGCGUCUUGCGGAAGUGGAAAAUUAAAGCAGGCAAAGCAAUGUUUGCUUUAAAGACCACAAUAGAAGAAGAAAUGUUGGAGCACAUUCGGGAUGCUAAAUCACCGAAGGAAGCGUGGGACACCUUCGCUACACUCUUUUCGAAGAGGAACGAUACAAAAUUGCAACUUCUCGAGAAUGAACUUCUAUCAAUGGUGCAACGCGACAUGGCGGUUGCCCAAUACUUUCACAAGGUGAAGUCGAUAUGCCGUGAAAUUUCAGAAUUAGAUCCGACAGCUGCUAUUGGGGAAGCCAGGAUAAAAAGAAUAAUUGUCCAUGGCUUGAGACCCGAAUACCGAAGCUUUGUAGCCGCUGUACAAGGAUGGCCGACACAACCAUCACUUGUUGAGUUUGAAAAUUUGCUGACAGGCCAAGAAACUAUGGCCAAGAAAAUGGGAGGAGUCUCACUAAAGGGUGAAGAGGAAGCGCUUUACACCAACCAAAGCAGAGGUGGUUCAAGACAGCACAACAAAGGCGGAUCUAGAAAGACUGGUGAACAGACAAAAAGUCAUCAGGGAGGGAAUGGCUCUCGUCCAGGGGGAGCUUCGAAGAAUCGUGACAGUAAUAGAAAGUUCGAUGGCGAAUGUUACAAUUGCGGGAAGAAGGGCCACAUGAAGAGAGAUUGUUGGUCCAAAAAGAAGUCUACCGAAAGCAAUAUUGCUACUUCUAGUUCUAAAGAAGAUAGUGAAGAUAGCUGGGAUGCCGAAGCAUUACUCGCUAUGGAGGAAGAAGAAUUAGCUCUCACGGUAACAACACCAGAAAAGAUUAACUACGAGAAUGAUUGGAUCGUAGACUCAGGCUGCUCAAAUCACAUGACGGGUGAUAGACAGAAGUUGCAAAACUGUUCUGAGUACAAGGGAAAUCGUGUGGUGGUAACAGCUGACAACUCAAGGUUACCGAUAGCUCACAUCGGUAAAGCGAUCGUUACACCUCGAUAUAGUCCCAACCAAGUGCCACUUCAAGAUGUCUACCAUGUUCCAGGAAUGAAGAAAAAUUUGCUAUCCGUAGCUCAAUUGACAUCAUCAGGCCACUAUGUCUUGUUUGGUCCACAAAAUGUGAAGGUAUUUCGAGACCUGAAGAUCUCAGAAAACCCUACGAUGGAGGGACGACGAUUGGAGUCAGUUUAUGUGAUGUCAGCUGAGUCUGCAUACGUAGACAAGACAAGAAGGAAUGAGACGGCAGAUCUGUGGCACAUGCGGCUAGGUCAUGUUAGUUAUUCCAAGCUAAGUGUGAUGGUGAAGAAGUCGAUGCUUAAGGGACUUCCACAACUUGACGUGAGAACAAAUACUGUUUGCGCGGGAUGUCAAUAUGGUAAAGCACAUCAAUUGCCAUACGAGGAGUCGAAGUUUAAAGCAAAGAAACCAUUAGAGUUAAUUCACUCUGAUGUGUUUGGACCAGUUAAGCAACCAUCAAUUGGCGGAAUGCGGUAUAUGGUUACGUUCAUUGAUGAUUUCUCCAGAUAUGUAUGGGCUUUCUUCAUGAAAGAAAAAUCUGAAGCAUUCUCAAAGUUCAAAGAGUUCAAAGAGAUAGUCGAAGGAGAAGUGGAGCAAAAGAUUCGUUGCUUGCGCACAGACAACGGGGGUGAGUAUAGCUCGAGAGAGUUUUCUCAAUACCUACGGGAAUGCCAAAUACGUCAUCAGUAUACUUGUGCCAAUACGCCACAACAAAAUGGUGUAGCAGAGAGGAAGAAUCGGCACCUUGCUGAAAUUUGCCGGAGUAUGCUACAUGCGAAGAAUGUACCUGGAAGAUUUUGGGCCGAAGGUAUGAGAACUGCAGCUCAUGUCAUCAACAAGCUUCCUCAACCAAGGUUGGAGUUUGUUUCACCCUUUGAGAAAUUGUGGAACAAGAAACCUACAGUUAGCUAUUUUCGAGUAUUCGGUUGUGUAUGCUAUGUAUUUGUUCCUGACCAUCUACGUAGCAAGAUCGAUAAGAAAGCAGUCAGAUGUAUCUUUGUGGGAUACGACAAUCAGCGAAAAGGGUGGAAGUGUUGUGAUCCAGUAGAUGGAAGGUGCUACACAUCACGAGAUGUGGUGUUUGAUGAAGCAUCCUCAUGGUGGACCUCAGAAAAAGAAGUGCUGCCAGACUCGAAAGAAUUCGGAGACAUGCUACAACAAAAGAUGGGGGAGCAUACUGUCCAAAUUCAUCUAAGCUCAGCUGGGGAUCUAUGCGAUAGUGAUAGCGAACGAAGAGUAACUCUAAAUCCUUGGCAAUCUGGGGUGUAUCGACAACCAGAUGAAGAAGGUGUGCCUAGUGAAACAGAAGAAUCAACUCCAUUACGAAGGUCAACAAGAACCCGAAGGCCAAAUCCCAAAUACGCUAAUGCAGCCAUAGUUGAAGAAGCAACUGGAAUAGAACCUGAGACGUUCGAAGAAGCGUCACAGAGUUCUGAGUGGAUGACAGCUAUGAAAGACGAGAUCACUGCACUUGAGCAAAAUCAGACCUGGGAACUCGUGCCAAAGCCAAAAGAUGUGAAACCCAUAUCCUGCAGAUGGGUUUACAAAAUAAAGCACUGUCCAGAUGGGUCAAUCGAGAGGUACAAGGCUCGAUUGGUAGCUCGUGGUUUCUCUCAACAAUAUGGACUAGAUUAUGACGAAACGUUUAGUCCAGUGGCAAAACUUACAACCGUCCGAGUCUUACUUGCACUUGCAGCCAACAAAAGCUGGAACUUGUGGCAGAUGGACGUGAAGAAUGCCUUUCUCCAUGGAGAGCUGGAUAGAGAGAUCUACAUGAUUCAACCGAUGGGUUUUCAGAACCGAGGUCACCCUGAGUAUGUGUGUAAACUGCGAAAGGCUCUCUACGGACUAAAACAAGCACCCAGGGCGUGGUAUGGCAAGAUUGCUGAAUUUCUAACUCAAAGUGGGUAUUCAGUAACAUCUGCAGACUCCAGCUUGUUUGCUAAAGCUAAUGGAGAAAGGAUAGCUAUUGUGCUCGUGUACGUAGAUGAUCUAAUCAUCACUGGAGAUGAUGUUGAAGAAAUUUUCCGAACAAAGGAGAACUUGUCAGUUCGUUUUCAAAUGAAAGAACUUGGACAACUUAAGCAUUUCCUUGGGCUAGAGGUUGAUCAGACGAAAGAAGGGAUAUUUCUUUGUCAACAGAAAUAUGCCAAAGAUUUGUUGAAGAAGUUUGGGAUGCUAGAAUGUAAGCCGAUCUCAACACCGAUGGAACCAAAUGCCAAGAUGUGUGCACAUGAAGGCAAAGACCUGGAAGAUGCAUCGAUGUAUCGACAAUUAGUGGGUAGUCUAAUCUACUUAACCUUGACUCGACCUGACAUUUCUUAUGCAGUUGGCGUGAUGAGUCGAUACAUGCAAAAUCCGAAGAAGUCUCAUUUAGAAGCGGUUCGGCGAGUACUCAGAUAUGUGAAGAGUACAAUAGACUAUGGUCUUUUAUACAAGAAAGGUGGAAAUUGCAAACUAGUUGGCUACUGUGAUGCUGACUAUGCAGGAGAUCACGAUACUCGCAGAUCAACUACUGGGUAUAUGUUUACCCUUGGAUCUGGAACGAUUUCUUGGUGUAGCAAGAGACAACCGACUGUGUCCAUGUCAACUACGGAAGCAGAGUAUCGAGCAGCAGCAAUGGCAGCUCAAGAAAGCACGUGGCUGAUACAACUAAUGAAUGAUCUACAUCAACCACUAGAUUAUACAGUUCUGUUGUACUGUGACAACCAAUCGGCAAUUCGGCUGGCGGAGAAUCCUGUUUUUCAUGCAAGAACUAAACAUGUGGAAGUGCAUUACCACUUUGUUAGGGAAAAAGUUCUGCAAGAAGAGAUUGAGAUGAGGCAAGUCAAGACAGAUGAACAAAUUGCUGACUUGUUUACAAAAAGCUUGAGUGUUGGAAAGUUUGAACAUUUCCGUCGUCAGCUUGGCAUGAUUCAAAGAAUGGGGGCUAACAUUGAGGGGGAGUGUUGAGAAGUCAAUAUUAGCCCAAAUAAGUCCACACCUAAAUUAAUUUGAUGUCAUUGCUUACAUCAAUUUAGUUAGGUGAAUAUUAGCCCAAAUAAGUCCACACCUAAAUUAAUUUGAUGUCAUUGCUUACAUCAAUUUAGUUAGGUGAAAAUUAGGUAUUUUUCCCAUGUUUAAUUUCAAUGGUUUAAAUUAGUUUGUGGUUAUUUUAAUGAGUGGUUUAGAUUGUUUCUUGUAACCUAUAAAUACCUCAUUUGUAUUUGAGUUUUAUUAUUCAACAAUAAAAAGCUUUAUUAUAAGCAUUUGAAAGCUUUCUUAAGAGUUCUUCUCUUUUUGCAAUUUUGUGAGAUUAUUCUAAAGAGAGUUUUUCUUCUUCUUGAUCAAUUAGAGUUUUUACUCUAUUUUGAUUCAACAUAAACUUCAGUAAAGUUGUUUCAGUUAUCUAUGUAAUCAGGCUAAGGAUAUUUAGCAGCUUAUUUAGGCAACUGCCAGAAUUCAGUUUGUUCGCUCGAAACUUGUAUGGUGACAAGGAUACUGGCAAGGAUAGUGAGAUAGUUUUUUGUGCGAGUGAAUUUUGAAAGCUUGGGUGUUCUGGGAUUUGCAAUUGCAAUCAUCCUCUGCUUUAGGUGAUUUCUUCUCCUCUUCUGUCUUUAUUUUCUCUCUAAUUGAAAGCAUAAAGUAUUUCAAUCAAAUUCUGUACCAGGAAUACGAAAAAUUUACUAAUAUUUUAUUUCCAUCUGUUUGCAUUGAUAACUUGGCCGCUUAUGUACUAGUUAAAGAACAAACAGAAGCAGAGUUCAGGAAAAAGUUUCUUCGGCCACCAUAUUUUAAAAUGAAACCAUUUCCAGGAAGCAGUUGGCAGCAAAUUCAUAGAAAGUAUAGACAAUGAUGAGCAAAAAGGUGAUUCGCAAUUUCAUUUUUUUAAAAUGAAAUUAUUUGUUAAGUUGGAGCUGAUAUUGUUAGAAGGCCAUUGAGCUAACCUAUGACACUGCUUGCCUAGAUUGCAGGAGGUCAAGACUCAAAAGAUGCACUGAAUUUUAAAAGGCAUGCAAUAAUUCUUAUGGCCAUUUGUCAAUGGUGGAAUGCUUUUAGCUUCUUUUCCUUUCGUGCAUUUUGGGGUUCUAUCAAGCGACAGCCGUAUGUAUGGACGGAUAUAGCUGCUGCGUUGAUUUCUAAUGCGUUGUAUGAUGUUAUAGCAACUAUCUAUCUGGUCAAUGUUUCAAAAGAAUAAGACACAGGGAAAAAGAGAAAGCAAGUGGCCAAUCAAGUAUUCAUGUCCCAAAGAAAAGAAUGAUUCGACAAUAGCAUUAAGGGUUAAUUGGACACAACAGAAGUGUUUUAACCACUUCAAGGAAUGUAAAUGUAAUUUUCCAUUCUAAAGAAAAAGUAAAUAUAUGCACUGUCAAUUAAUCUUUGGUCAACCAGCAACAUUCAUAAUUUCGUGUAAGUUUCAUUUCUGUUUGUUGGAAAUAGCAGUGUAUUUCUGAGAGUUUGUUCAAAAUGGAAAGAUUUUAAAAUAUAAAUUUCACAUCUGUUUAUUACUGUUGUUUGGUCUAAUUUCUUAUGUAGAAUUUUCAGAAUCUGUCGGACAUUAGUUUAUAAUUUUGAGAUUUUGCAGCCAUAAAUUUUUUUUUUUUUUGGUUGCCAUUUUAUUUUGCUCCUUUAUCUAUGUGCAUGUUGACUGGCUGCAGUGAGUGAAAAUUUACCCAUAUUUGCUGGCUAUUCUUGGACAAUAUUAGAGAAAAUAAUCAUAUUAUUUCGCGUGAAGUGAACUUCCAUAACUUAUCAAUUGAAUUGCUGUAAAAUAUUAAAUAGUUUUAUUUUUCUUUUAUCGUGUAACUUGGACCAAAAAAGGAAAUGAGUUUAACAUGACCCUCAUUCCGGCACUAUGCAUGUUUUUCUUGUAUUGAUGACAGUGCUCUUGGUGCUUCUCAUCUGCUUCUUGCUUUGGUUUCAAACAAGUCUUUCUCCGUCGAGACAUUUAUUGUAAUUUCAUUUGGAGACAUAUAUCUGUCGUUCAAAUAUAUUUCAUAUGCAAGCUGUUAAUAAUUCUGCUUGCAGAAAGCCUACAAAGCAGCUGUGUGAUGUAAUAGAAGACCAUAGUCUGGUCAAUUUUUCAGCAUUAGAUAUUCAGGUCAUCAGCUUCUCAUGAAUUCUUUCCUGAGUUUCUUUGAAUUAUUUGUGAUGUAAUAACUUGUGCAUUUGAGAAACUGUUCUCUUGAAUUCUUUCUUGAGUUUCUUUGAAUUAUUUGUGAAUAAGUUGUUAAUCGGCUGCUUCUCUUCAGGAUAAGGAAAGUGUUGCAAACUGGUGAAGCAGCUGAUAGAUAAAAGCAAUGGGUACAUCUUUGCUGGCAUGGAUCGAUGCCAGUGCGGUUGAAUUCAGCAAGACUGCCGUUCGUGAUGUUGUUGAUUGGGAUUAUUUUCAACCUUAUGAUUCUCAUAUCCAUAGAACCUUUUGGUUAUUUAAUCAUAUUUCAUCGUAUGCAUCCGCAUCUUCAUGUGCGUUUGAGAAACUGUUUUGCGGUUAGGCAGGUUUCAAUCUUGAUUCAUGCGUCUUUCAUAAAUGUACAAAAUUAUGGAAACUUCUUUUUCCCAGAUAUUAUAUCUGCACUUAUUCCCAUGUAAUCGAGUCAGACAAGUUUUGCUUAACAAAGAUGUCUACAGUCGCUGAAGUGCAGGAGGAGUACAUUAAGGGUGAUGACAACAUUGAUUAACCCAACCCAACCUGUAAAAAAUCACACCGGUUAGGUUGGUUUCACGGAUUGGGCGGGUUGGUGCCCACCCAUAAAUAUAACCUCCAUUUCAGUACAAUGCAUGUUAAUUGUUCUCCAAGGACUUCUCUUGUUUCCCAUUCCCAACCUCCAUGCUCUCGAGAGGAAUUUGGCACCCAUCAAUUUUUAUUUUUGAAAACUCGUAAUGGUCUGAUAAAAUUAAACAACAUCAAUAACGUUACCAGUCUUUAAAUAGUAAUUAAUUUAUUUAAUUUGCCACCUAAAAGAAUCCUGCUGGAAAUAGAGGUUAAAAAUUUUAUUAGAUCUGCUUACCUUUGUUCAUUCAGCAAAAACACUUACAAUUCAUAGCUAGAGAAUCUAUCCAUUGACAAUUGUGGAUUAAAAUUAUAACACCUGAAUUCAAACAUAUCCUUAUGAAGUUAUGAAUUUGUUCAUACUUCAAAUGAUUUUUUUUUCCCCAAGCUAAUAAAGCGACCACUUUGAUCAAACAACGAUGUUGAAGGAAUUGCGUAUUUUCAAUGUCCUUUUCCAGACAGACGUUCGAGAGAGGGAAAGGAGAAGACUGGCCUAAUUAAGAUAUCUCACAAAGAUUAUUAUUGAGUUAAAAUGUUAUUGUAAAAGAUGUUUAAUACAAUAAUAGUACUUCUUUUGCAUUGUUAUAAUGAGGCUGGUGGGUUUCCUCAGAGGAUGGAUCUGGCUCGCUAGUAUGCAUUUGGGAAGCUGCUAAUUAUCGGCCAUAAAAAGUCAGGGGGUUGUGGCUGUUCCGUCGCCCAGAAAUUCCUAAACUCAUAUAUCAAAUUUCGGAUGAACUUGGGCAUUAUGUAAAUAUGUAUUUUUGAGAAUUAAACUAGUGCGUUAGAAAAAUUUUGAGCCACUGUAAUCAUUUGAUUUUGCUAAGAGAAAAUUUUACUCUGUGUUUCGCUUUGCCUUUUGUUUUUUCUGUGAUAAUAUGAUUCAUACGAAUGUGAUUACACACUAUCAUGCAUCUAUUUUCAUUUGCUUGUCAUGAAUGAUCAACAUGCUCGAAAUAUUUAUAUAGGUUGGAAAUAUUUAAAUCUAUUAAAAUACUAUACACACCCAUUUUAAAAUAAAAAUAUGAUUAUUAUAAUGAUCGCGAAGGUAACACGAUAUCAUAAAUAAAAUAAAAUAUUUCGCAAAAAAGAUAAGAUACGCUUGAAUACAUUGGUAUAAAAAAUAUUUUAGUGGAUUCAAGUAGCACUAAUGCUCCCUUAUCAAAAAAUAUAUAAAGAUAACUAAUCUGAUUGGGUAUACCGUGUGUGUGUGUGUAAUAUUUUUUGAUAUUAUUAUAUAAUAUUUUUUAAAAAGAAGAGAGAGUGGGCAAAGUUCAAAUCAAUUUUCUAAUCCCUAUCUCCUUUAGGAUUUAAACUUCGGUGUUUAGUGUCACGGGUCGCUCAAAUUUUCUAGUCAAAGAGGCUAAAUUGCACGAAAUUGUGCUAGCUUAUUUGAUUUUAAAAUUUUCCAAUGCACUGUAACACACUCUCAUGCUUGUACAUAGCUCGAAAAUCUCUAGAAUUUACCAGAGUAGUGUAGCAUGUAGCUUGUACAUAGGUUUUUCUGGAACACUCCAAGCAUUACUAAGCAUAAGAGCUUUGAGAACUCUCUAGACAUAAAACAUUCAAGGGUAGGCCUGCCCUAAAAAUAGGGCAUGAUGAUUGCCAUUUGAGCAUACAAGAAGUAAGAACAAAUCAAGUAUAUUUGUAAGCUCCCAAACUCUCUCGUACACACUCCUGUGAAUAUUAUGCUUUCUCUUUGACUAUAUUACUCUCUCUUCUCUCUAGUUUUUUUUCGCAAGUAUCAUAUCUUAGCUAGUCGAAAAGUUCAAGUAAGAAUGAUAAUUUUUCCUGAUGGGAUGGGAUGGGAUGGGAUCCUGUGGGAUCCCAUCUCAUUUAGGACGGGAUUGGGAUACAUUUUUAUCCCAUAAAAAAAUAUAGGGACGGGAGUAGAACUUUUUUUAUCCCACUUGUAUCUAUGGGACAGGACUGAGAUUAACAAAUCCAGUCUCGUCACGUCUCGUCUCAUUGCCAACUAGGGAUGGAAAUUUUUCCAAUUGAGAUGGGCUCUCACAGAAUCCCAUUUUUUUGGGGAUGCGAUUGAGACAUAUUUUUAUCCCAAAAAAAUAUAUCGACAGUGACACUUUUUUUUAUCCCACUUGCAUAUUCGGGACGAGACUGAGAUUAGUAAAUCCCACUCUAUCCCAUCACAUUGCCAACCCUAAGUUCAAGGCUUACUUUGCAACUAUCUCAUAAAAGUUGUUUUAAGUACCACAGGAGUUUGUUGUGCAAAAUACUCAUCCCGUGACAUUAGCUAAAUAAAAUUGUUUGAAAGCCACUUACCCAAACUAUUAAACAAAUAUUAUUCUUUUAAUAUGCAAUCUUUUAAUAUAAACUUUUGUCUUAAUUUUCUAUCUCCUACAAUAAAUUUUAUGAUUUUAAAAAUUGAAAAAAUUAAUAACUUUUAGAUAGAGCAUUCCUUACUGUUAAAAGAAAUAUGAAUGGUAAUAUAAAACUUACUUAUUAUAGUAUAAUGCUUUUAGUUUUUUGAAAUAAGGUUCUUAUUUUUUUCAAGAUAAAAUUCAAAGAAAACAAGUUAAAUGUUGUGGAAAAUCUUACGCCCAUACAAUAAAUUAUGACAGCUAAAUGCAAACCUGGCUGAAGUAUUAGUUGUUUUAUUACAAUCUCCAAAAAGAUGAGCACUUCCAAAAUCUUUCUUUGUAACAAUAAACACUACUGGUCAGCAACUAUCCAAGUCAAAAGUAACUCAAUGUGAGUCUUAGUGCACUUGCAGUGAAUCCCAAGAUAAACUAAUUUCACUAGCAAGUUGGAUACCAAAGAGUAAGGCUUCAGCCUCAAUUAUAUUAAAAUCUGAGUAAACAUUAAAUACCACAAUCAAACUCAGAAAUCAUAAUUAAACUAUCAUGAUUAAAAAUAAAGUUUUUUUUUUAGAUAUCCGUUUGUAGUAUCUCUUUAGAUGACAAAUAGGAGAUAAAAUAAAUAAAUAUUGGUUGCGUAAAUAAAAUAAAUAAUUUUUUUAACUGAAAAAAAUUCCUAAAAACUAAAUAGUUCAAACUUUUUUUAACAUGAAAUAAAUAUUAGAUGCGUAAAUAUAAAAAAAUUAACUGAAAAAAUUUCCCAAGAACUAAAUAGUUCAAACUUUUUGUUUAACAUCAUGGGUUUUGUAUAUUCAAUUGAACCGAACAACUAAAUUAAAUCGAAAUUACCCUGUUCGGUUCAAAUGAAUAGACGAAAACCGAACAGUUCAUAUUUUUUGAACUGAUGGUGCGUUUACUUCAUGAAAUGAAAAUAUGGUGGAAUGAGAAUGGGCUGGAAAUGAGAAUGUGUUGAAAUGAGAAUGAAGAAUGAGAAUGAGAUUCUAAUGUUUACUUAAUAAAAAUAAAGGGAAAUGAGAAUGUGCUGGAAUGUCAUUGAUGUGUUUAUUUGACAAAAUAAAUGGGAAUAAAGAAUGAGAAUGAGAAUUAAUUUACCAAAAUACCCAUAGUAUUAAAUAAUAUAAUUUUUAUUUUACUAGAUACAUGUAUAAAUAUUAUUAUAAAAAUAAUAUUAAUUAAAAUAAUAAAUGUUAAGAAUGAUAAUAUUAAUAAAAAUAAUAAUAACAAUAAUUAAUAAUAACUAAAAUAAUAAAGUUAAUAAAAAUAACAACAACAAUAAUAAUAAUAAUAAUAAAUGUUAAUGAUGAUGAUGAUGAUAAAUGUUAAUAAUGAUAAUAUUAGUAAAAAAAUAAUAACAGUAAUUAAUAAUAACUAAAAUAAUAAAGUUAAUAAUAAUAAUAAUAACAUUUAAAAUAAUAAAAUUAAUUGUGAUUUGAAUCAGAGUAAUUCGAAAAAUAUAAAAAAAUUAAAAUGAUACAAAAAUAAACAUAAAUUUUAUCCCCGUUCCCUCAUUUUCAUUCUCAAUUCCCCAUGAAAAUAGAAUUCCCAUUUCUUAUUUUCAAAUUACGGAAUCCCCAUAUUUUAUUAUCAUUCCCAAAUUAUAUUUUACCAAAUAAAUAUAAAUUUUAUUCAUAUUUUUUCAUUUCCAUUCUUUAAACCUUCAAGUAAACACAAUUUUCUUUUAAUUCGGGUUCUGGGCCUGAACCGAACCGUACCGUAAACUGCCCACCCUUACAGUAGUUUUCGGGGUUUUUAAUUAAAUAUGCCUUAAAAGUAGUGUAUUUAGUUAAAUAUACCCAUGUUUGAAAAUUAUCUAAGUAUGCCUUUUUAUGUGGUACAUUGUCUAAAAUAUCCCUAAAGAAAAAUAUAAAACACACACACAACUCACAACACUCUUUGCUUCUCACGUAUUUAUCAUCUAUACAAAAACUCACACCACACUCAAAAUCACUCACAAACAGCUAAUGCACUGAGUUUGUUUGCAGUUGGGUGUAUUAUUCAUCCCAUGAAUAAGGUAUUUGAAACUUUUUUUAUUUUAUUUUGGGCUAUCUAUUCAAUUUGUUGACAUUAUAUUAUUUUUAGGGUUUUGUUUGGUUUGUGAUAAACACUAAAGCAACUCAUAUUUUCAUUACAUUUGCAUCAUAUGACUGUUAUUUGAUGGAUUUUAUAACUACAUUCGUUAAAAUCUGAAGUUGUUGUCAAAUUUUUUUCUGCACCCGACAUACACGACAGCAGUCGUGUAUGUAUGUAUUUACAUGACUGUAGUCGUGAAAAUGUGCAAAAAAUUUCAAUUAUUAUGACACCUUAUUAUUCUAUUGGUUCAAAAAAUAUAUAUUUUUCACUAUAUAUAUCCUUUUACUAUUACUAUACUAUAGUCGUGUGUGUGAAUAAGUUACACGACUACUAACGUGUACGUAUAAACUUACAUACUAUAAUUGUUAAUAAGUUACACGACUACUAUGAACCUUAUAUACUUGUUAUUUUUUGUUGUUUUAAUUUUUUUAAUAUCUUUCAUAUUUAGUGAUAAAUUUUUACCUUUUUGUUUCGCAGAUGAAUAAACAUGUUUGUGUGACUUUCUAAGAACAAGUAUUGAAGGGAGGCGACCAGAGACUUAUAAAAUAUGGACUGAGUGUUUGGGUUGAAUAUGCCAAAAAUUUAUGAUGAAUGUUAAAUAACUUCUAUUAUAUUACGACUUAUUUACGAUUUCAAUAAUUAUUGGAUUUGUGUUAUUUGAUAGGCAAUCGAACUAUAGUUAGUUUCAUUUAUUUGAAGUUUGAUAUGUUUAAAAUCUAUAUUGAUUGUGUCAUCAAUAUAAUGAAUGAUUGAAAAGAAUUUUUAUUCUGUGCACAUACCCGAGUACAAUCGUGUAUUUUGGCUGUUACAAAACUAGUCAUGUUUAUUUCUAAAUACUCGACUACAGUCGUGUAUCUGUGCAAAUACUCGAUUAUCACAGAGAGUUUGUCAUAUUUAUUUCUAAAUACUCGACCAUAGUCGUGUAUCUAUGCAAAUACUCGACUACAGUCAAGUAUUUUGUCACAGAGAGCUUGUUAUUUUUAUUUGUAAAUACCCGACUACAGUCGUGUAUAUGUGCAAAUACCCAACUGCAGUCGAGUAUUUUGUCACAGAGCUUAUUAUGUUUAUUUCCAAAUACCCGACCGCAGUCGUGUAUCUGUGUAAAUACUCGACUGCAGUCGAGUAUUUUGUCACAGCUUAUUAUGUUUAUUUUUAAAUACCCGACCACAGUCGUGUAUCUGUGCAAAUACCCGACUACAGUCGAGUAUUUUGUCACAGAGCGUAUUAUGUUUAUUUCCAAAUACCCGACCGCAGUCGUGUAUUUGUGCAAAUACCUGACUGCAGUCAUGUAUUCUCUUACAGUGUAUUCCUUGUGUAUAUAUUGUGCAAACUAUCUUAUCUAUCAUUAAUAUAAAUAACAAAGAAAUAAAAUAUAUUAAUGCUGUCAAUUGUCUUUAAUGACAUCAAAUAUCAAUAACAUCCUCAUUACAACUAUUACAUCUCAUAAUCUAAAAAAUGACACUACAAAGUUUUUUUCCAUGACCUAUGCCCAAAUAAUUUUACAACCAAGGCUUGUCGAAAUUAUGUAACAUGAUUUUGUUGGCAUUAUGAAUUGACAUCAAGUCCAUGGACUAGGACCUCCAAGUACCGCAACAAAAAUGCUCCACAUUCACCACUAAAAAAAUUCAUAUAAAUCAAUUGUUAAAAAUCAUCAUUCUUAUUAUUAUGUUCAAAACACAUUAUAUAUAUAGUACAUACCCUGAUUUUUGUUGCGGGAUGUCACGCACUCGCACGAUGGGCCAAGGAAUUUUCGAAAUAACCUCACUACAGUCUGGAUGUGUUUCGUGAUAUGCUAUCUUCUGAAGUACUAGAGGUAUCAUGUCUGCAACAGGCAGCAAUUGUCUCACCAAAACUGAAUCCUUUGUUAAGUCUAUCAUGGAGUCAUAAAUAGAAAUCUUGCCCCCAAGUAUAUCGACCACACCGAGAACCCAAUGAUCAUUCAUGAAUAUUGGCAAAUACACCUACGAAAUACAGACAAUAUUCUUAACAAGUAACGGCAAAUAUAUCUACGAAAUGCUGUAACUGUUUUUAUCUACUUGCAGUUGAUUUAUUAAUAGUAUACUAUCAAUAGUUUUAUGCUAAAACAAAUAGCAAAUUGUUAAUAAAUUAGAAUUGUAAAAUAAAGGUUCUACAACAAAUAAUAGAGAAAACCCAGAUUGUAGCAUAAUGAAUGCAUACGCAGUUGAAGAAAAUUGAUAUAUAAUUCCCAUGGAUGAAGUUCAACUACAAACAAUAAGUAAAAUUAUAUAAAGAUCUAAUGCAUAAACUAGUGUAGCCAUAACCGAAAAUUCAUAAGGAUAAUAUUUAAUUAGGAACUCCCACAACCAUUAUUAAAGAGCUAUUAAUUCACUCUCUUCAAUUUCAAAUUCACAAGUUAAAGAAGCUUCAUUACAUUACCAACAAGAAAGAUUAUCAGUAAAUAAGCAAGAUAAUGACCAAAAUCAUGUGGGUAAUUUGUUUUUUAAAACCCUAUUGCAUAUAACCCUAACAAUUAUGCACCAUAAAUUCUCUUUAUAAAGUAAAAAAUAAGUGUAAAUGUGGUUAAUGACCUUUAGUUCGGUGAAUUUCCAGCCUUUAAUUCGGUGAUUUUGUAGCCUUUAAUGUGGUGGAUGAACUUGCAGCAGCAGGAGCAUGAACUUGCAGCAGCAGGAGCAUGAACUUGCAGCAGCAGGACAAGCGUUGUGUAUGGUAGCUCGUGAAUGCAGAUUUUGAAAUUUGAAGAAUUAAAUUGGGGUAAUUUUAUAAUUGCACAUUGAAAAAGGUAUAUAAAAAAAAUUUUGAAUUAUGGGGGUAUAGUUGGAUAAAUACCUAACCUUUAGGGUAUAGCGGGGACAAAUCCCUGGUAGUUUUCAUUAACCGACGUUGUACUGCUGGUAUGAAGUUGUUCAAAUGUUCAAAUCAGUCUCUCGCUUUCAGCUCAGUCAGAGUUUCCAGGUCCAGAGACUUCCCGCUGACUGAGAGCUUUUUUAGUAGCAGGUCUACAAAUAAAGGAAUAGAGCUGAUUUAAUGAUUAAUUUAUUUCCUUUUUCAAUUUCUUUUGAUUGCCAUUUAAUCUGGAUAAGUUAAACGUGAAUUAUUUAGUGCAGAUUAAAUGUUCGACGAAUUUCCCGCAAGAAUAUUAAGCUAAAGAGAAAAAAAGAAAACAAUUGAGCGUGAGCGGGAAUGGUGUUUGGCCAAGUGGUGAUUGGUCCGCUCGGCUCGGGAAAGACCACUUACUGCAAUGGCAUGUCUCAGUUUCUCCGCCUUGUUGGCAGGUAACUCCGUUUCUUGAUUUCAAGCAGCUUUAUCUUUGAUGGCCAAAAAAAUUGAUUUGGGCUUUGCCCAUUAAAUGAAUGUAAGAGCGGUAGGGAAUAACUGAGUUAUAGGAUUAGCUUUAAGUGAACAUUGAUGGUAACAUGCAUGUGAAUGUUGUAUGUGUUCAGCGGCAAGCUGUAUGCCAAUUUGGUCUAUAUGGUUGCUUCGGUGGUAACUUAUUAAUUUUUAUGCAGGAAGGUUGCAGUCAUCAAUUUCGAUCCUGCUAAUGAUAGUUUGCCAUAUCCUUUGUCGUUGAACUUUCUUACAAAUGCUGUGGUUUGUUGUAGUACAAUUAGUUCAAUCAGAAACUUCCUUGAUGUUAAUAUAGAUAUGAGUGUGCUGUGAAUAUUGAGGACUUCAUUAGACUAAGUGAUGUGAUGAUGGAGCAUUCACUUGGUCCCAAUGGAGGUUAGUCAGCCCAUUGUUGUUUACUCUUUCUUGCUUUAUCACGCAAUGAUAUUCCUUUGCUUUACAACAAAUUUCGUGAAAUUAACUUCAAUCAAGUGGCUAUGUUCAUACGCUGUUGAGAUUUUAUGGACAAAGAUUUGGUAGACUUUAUAUGCCGUCUUCUUUCUUUUUGCAGUGAUAUGUUUGUCUUCAAUGCACUUGUACUUGUUCUAUGGUUUCUAAAGUAGGUGUUUUUAUGAUAAACUAGGUCUUGUGUAUUGUAUGGACUAUCUAGAGAAGAAUAUUGACUGGUUGCAGUCGAAAUUGGAACCACUUUUGAAAGGUAAGAAGUGGCCAUUUUCCUUCAUUCUAAUGCCAAUAAUGCUGUCAUGAGACUCAUAAAAAUUGUUAAAAUGUUAAUGUUUUUGGUAUUUUGCAGAUCAUUAGCUUCUGUUUGAUUUUCCUGGCCAAGUUGAAUUAUUUUUUCUUCAUUCCAAUGCCAAGAAUUUUAUAAUGAGACUCAUAAAGAAGUUAAAUCUCAGUGUAUUGUUACAUCUUACGUCUAUGAAGGCACUCAAAGAGUUGAGAUGAAUUCAUCAUUGUUAUUUUGAUGCCAGAAUUGUGCAAUUCUCAGUUGCUUCCUUUCACAUGCAGUUGACUGCAGUGCAUCUAGUUGAUGCGCAUCUUGGCAGUGACCCCGGGAAGUAUGUUAGUGCUUUGCUUCUCUCAUUGUCUACGAUGCUCCAUCUGGAACUUCCCCAUGUCAAUGUCUUUUCUAAGAUCGACCUGAUUGAGAAUUAUGGAAAGCUAGGUGUGGUUUUAAGUGUAGCUCUCCUACUUGUUUGUUUAGUUUGAAAUAUCAGAUAUUGUCACAAGCUCCUAUCUGCUACGUUUCCUCACCAUUCAUUUACUUUGGGUAUGUUGCAGCUUUUAAUCUCGAGUACUAUAUGGAUGUGCAAGAUUUGUCAUAUUUACAGCAUGCCUUGGGUCAGGACCCUCGUUCUGCUAAGUACAGGUUUGAAUUCUAGCUGAAUCAAUGAUGCAAAUUAUGUCCAUUGCUAUUUCUGACUAUUGUUUCUAUCAUUUUCAAUUGUUACCUCCCCUUUCCAUCUACUGCCACACUACAAUGCCCACACAAAUAUCAUGAAAUUUUUCAAUGGAAAUGCCUUUCUGUUUGUCCAGAGACAGCUCUUAGAUGCAAGUGACCAAUUUUUGGCUUUGGCCAUGUUACAGCCUUAGAUUUCAAUUUGCCAUAUCUUGUCUCGGAAGUCAAAAGAAAGCAUAUUUGUUAGCCAAAUUUUAUUUGAAUUUCUUGUGUAACAAUGAAUGGGGGAAAAAAAAAAGUUCCUCUUUUGUUUUGAUCAGACUCAAUGAAUAAGUGGUUAAAAUGUGCCUGUACUAGAAAUAUAGAUGUGAGGUUUCAUAAAAUUUUCUUAAUCUUAAGAAAGAGUUAUCUUGAAAAGAAGAUAACAUGGAGAAUUCAACAACUAUACAGUCAUAUUGAUGUCUGUCAACUUGGGUCAUAUGGUGUUGUUUGGAUGGAGAUGUUAGGUCCCAGAUGGUAUACUUGUUAUCAAAUUCCAGUCUACUUCAUUCAUGCUUUGAUGACAUAUGCGGUGCAGCUUCUUAUCUAAGACCUGCAUAUGUUACAGUCAACAUUCUGUUCUGUAACUCAACCUCAGGAAUCUGCUUGUAUGGUGUUCUUCUAAUUUCAAAUGGAGAUAAGUAAUAUCUGUUGUUCAAAUAUAUUUUAUUUACAAGCUGUUAAUAAGUCUGCUUGCAGAAAGCUUACAAAGGAGCUGUGUGAUGUAAUAGAAGUCUACAGUCUGGUCAAUUUUUCAACCUUAGAUAUUCAGGUCAUCAGUUUCUCUUGAAUUCUUUCUUGAGUUUCUUUGAAUUAUUUGUGAAUAAGAUCUUAGUUGGCUGCUUCUCUUCAGGAUAAGGAAAGUGUGGCAAAACCUGUGAAGCUGAUAGGUAAAAGCAAUGGGUACAUCUUUGCUGGCAUGGAUGCCAGUGCAGUUGAAUUCAGCAAGAUUGCCAUUCGCGAUGUUGAUUGGGAUUAUUUCAGAUAUCCUUCUGUUCACUUAUUUUGAAUCUUGUUAUUCUCAUAUUCAUAAAACUUUUUGGUUAUUAUUAUGGUUCAUCAUAUGCAUCUACAUCUUCUAACUUGUUCGUUUGAGAAACUAAUUUUGCCGUUAGGUAGGCUUCAAGCUUGAUUCAUGCUUUUUUCAAAAAUGUACCAAAAUCAUGGAAACUUCUUUUUCCCAGAUAUUGUAUCCACACUUUUCCCAUAUAAUUGGGUCAGACAAGUUUUGCUUAACAAAGAUAUCUACAGUAGCCGAAGUGCUGGAGAAGUACAUUAAGGAUGAUGACGAUGUUAACUAAAAUGGGACGUGAAGAUAUGUGGUGUGCAAACCGUAAGCCUGCCUCUUAUUUUUGUGCAUGUUUACUUGCUUGUGAUUCACGUUUGUUAAUCUAUUUUGCUCUCUUGCAGGAGUUAUAAAGUUUUCAAUCAAUCAAACAUUUUAACUUAAGUCCUUAGCUCUUCACGGCUUGAAUGGGUCAGAUAGGACAAGCGCCGAAGAGGUGGUUUUAAUCAAACCCCUCCUAAUUAUGAUGUAUGGCCCGAAUCUCGGACUUUUUUUACAAUAUCAAGCGAUUUUUUUUAGUUGAAUCGGCUAGUGUACACAAAUGUCGAUUAUUGAUUUUUCUUUAGUAUUGUUUGUAAUUACAAGAAACGAAGUAAUGAAAUUUAUCAGUGCGUUCAUAGUUACGCUUAAGCUCAAAGAUUACCGUCAAGAUCAUCAACCUGCUGAUGAUCUGAAGCUUCCAUAGAAAAAGGAACCGGACAAAACCCAAGAGAGAGAACAAAAAUAAAUUAAUUAAAAAAAAAGAAGAAAAAUUGCCAAAGCUACUGGUCAGUUGACAUCAAUCUUUUGCACGUGGGAUGGAAAUGGAACACUGGGCACUUUGGAUGACUCAUAACUCACAAGAGAGCAUCGAAUUUAGGCCGAAUCAUAUAAAGUACGCUAAGCCUUAGUGCGUGCGCUGUUGCGUUGCUGUGUCUGCCGGUGAGAAUAAUUUUUCGUUUUUAAGGUAAUUUUCAUUUAUUUAUUUAUUUUUUUGGUGCAUAUGGUCGAACACUUGGUGGGCACCUCAGUUUUUGGAAUGUUCUCUUCAAUGAAUACAGGGAAAAAGGGACAAAAAUUAAGAACUUUAUUUUGUUCGCGUGGAAUCGAUAUCUGGAUUGGGAUUGUAUGUCGUGUUUAAUUUGAAUUGGUUGAUUCCUCUAAUGAAUUAUUUGAUAAAUUUAGUAGCAGUAUUUGGUGGCAAAAGUAUCAUUAAUUUUUGGAAAUAUGAUUAUAUUAUUAAUUAUUUUAGCAUUCUAAAAAGUCAAUGGUUAUGUUGGAAAUACUCUAAGGUAGACUAGAGUACAAAUCACAAUCACACAUAAAAAGUGAUAAAUAAUAAAAAAUAUAUUAUAUUUUUGAUCAUAUGAUUAUGAAGAUGUAUUUUACCUUAAAGAAGUUAUAAUAAGCGAAUUCUUUUAAAAAAGAAUAAAAUUUCUUUUUUAUCAUACUCAACCGCUUCAAACUUCUAAGAAGUAGAUAUACAAUGAGUGGAAUACUGAAUUGAGUGCGAGCUGCGGAUAACAUAUAAAAUUGGGAUACAAGCUUCAAAGAAAGUGUAUUGCUAUUCAAAUGUAGAUUUCAAAUUAAGAAGAUAUGCCAGCAAAUUGUAUAAAAAUGUAUAAAUUGAUCAGUAACAUUAAUUCCAAAUGAUGAAAUGAGUUAUCUUGAUCAAAAGGUCAAGAACCUACCUUACUUCUCUUAGAGAUAACUUGCAUCAACCGUUGUGGUAUUGAUACUUGUCUUCAGCUAGUAAAAGUGAAAGUUUCACAAUUGAAAUAAAGCUAAGGGAAGAUGCUAUGCUCCAUUUAUUAUUAUUAUUAUUGACGUGGUCGAGAAGUAAAGCCGUGCAUAUGAUGAAGUAUAAAUAAGAAUGCAAUAGCCCGGAAUUCAUUUACACAAACACUUCAAUAUCCUUUUGAUCACUUUUGCAAACAUCAAUUUGUCUCCUCUUGUAUUCACCAUGGUUGAUGCCAUCGUUUCCACUGUCUUGGAGCAGCUGAUUUCCUUCGCUGCUAAAGAGAUAAAGCAACAGGUGAUCGAAGUUACACCCGCAUAUUAUAAACACUUCUAAUGAUUUUAGUUGGUUUCCUUUUUAUCGAAAACAUUAUUUUUGCUUUAUUUUAUUUAUUUGGCAAUUUUAAAUUUGGAAAUUUGAAUUGAAUUUAAUUAAAAUGUGAUGUAGUUAGUAACCACUUAUUUUUAUUUUAUUUCAUUUAUAUUCUCAAUAACUACUCAUAUUUUGGUAACUUACUAUAACUUCCAUAUCUAAGAAAUUAUCAAAACCCACAAUUUUAACUCAGCACGAAUAUUCAAUGGUGAUCUAAGCUUUUGCAGAACACUCAAGUUUGUCAAACAUUCAUUAAUUCAAUGUUUAGUGAAAAAAACUCUUCUCAGCACAGAAUUCCAUGUCCAUUACUUAGGCUCUCUGAAAAAUUUCAUAAUUUUCAUACAUUCUUUGAGUUUGGUAAGUGAUUUCAUAUAAUUUCUUUUCAAGUUAAAUUUUAAUUUGGCUUCUGAUAUAGUCUCUUUGUUGAAUUUGUAUCUCUUAUGAUUCUUAGAUUUUGGGCUCCAACUUUUGAGGAUAUGAUAGUCACAUUUUAUGCUAUGCUCAGAUUGAUUUUUAUGAUUUUUUGUUCCCGUUAAGUGACUUAGAAUUUGACAAAAGUUUGAUAGGAAAUCUGUUUCACGAUUUUGUUUUAAUUGACCUUUUAGUGGAAAUAAGAUGCUUAUAACUUAAUGUGGAUGGUUUGUAAAAUCAUGAAAUUUGGAUAAUAUAAAUUUGUACGAGACUCUCCAUAAUAUUUCAUGAUUUUUCAUUAGCUCUGGGGUGUUACAGGUGCUACUUGUGACUGGUGUCAAAAAAGAAGUGAAAAAAAUUACCAACCACCUUCAAGCCAUUCAAGCUGUGCUCGAGGAUGCAGAGGAAAAGCAAGUGACGGAAACAGCUGUCAGACUUUGGCUGGGUAGGCUCAAGUCCGCAUCCUACGACAUUGAAGAUGUGUUGGAUGAGUGGAUCACAGCAAGAGGCAAAUUGCAAAUUAAGGGCAGCGUUUAUGACAAUGCUCUUGUUGCUCCUAAUCAGAAGAAGAAGGUAUGUUCCUGCUUUCCUGCCUCUUGCUUUGGUUUCAAACAAGUCAUUUUGCAUCGUGACGUAGCUGUCAAGAUCAAAGAAAUCAAUGAAGAGCUGGACGAUAUUGCCACUCAAAAAGACAUGUUUAAAUUUGUUGGGAGUGUCAGUAAAAGUAGUGAAAGACCAAGACGUGUGCAGAGUACCUCCUUGAUUGAUGAGGAAGAGAUUUGUGGUAGAGUUGGUGAGAGGGAUGCACUCUUAAGCAUGCUGUUGUGUGAGAGCAGUGAGCAACAAAAAGGCCUUCAUAUCAUCUCAAUUGUUGGUAUGGGAGGCAUCGGGAAAACUACUCUUGCACAACUAGCUUGUAAUCAUGACAAGGUGAAGAGUCAGUUCGACAAAAUUUUAUGGGUGUGUGUAUCAGAAACUUUUGAUGAGUUUAGGAUUGCCAAAGCGAUGCUUGAAGCUUUGACUGGUUCAACUUCUAAUUUAGAUGCAUUGCAAUCUCUUCUUAUAAGUAUUGACGAAUCUAUUGCGGGAAAGAGGUUUCUUCUUGUCUUAGAUGAUGUGUGGGACGGAGAUUACAUUAAAUGGGAACCAUUCUACCGUUGCCUAAAGAAAGGUCUCCAUGGAAGUAAAAUUGUAAUUACCACACGUAAUGAGUCAAUUGCCAGCAUGAUGAGAUCCGCAGAUAUUAUCUCUAUCAAGGAAUUGGCUGAAGAAGAAUGUUGGGCAUUGUUUAAGCAGUUAGCAUUUUUCGGUCGAUCCACUGAGGAGUGUGAAAAAUUGGAACAAAUUGGUCAAAGAAUUGCAAGAAAGUGUAAAGGUUUACCUCUUGCUGCAAAGACAAUGGGAAGUCUCAUGAGCUCUAAAAAAACUGAAGAAGAGUGGAAAAGAAUUUUAAAUAGUGAUUUAUGGAAGGUAGAAGAGAUUGAGAAAGGUGUUCUAACCCCUUUGUGGUUGAGUUAUAACGAUUUGCCAUCUAGAGUAAAAAGAUGUUUCUCGUAUUGUGCUGUCUUUCCAAAAGACUACAAUAUAGAAAAAGACAAACUAAUUACUUUGUGGAUGGCUCAAGGUUAUCUUAGUGCAGAAGCAGCAGAACAAGAUGAGGAGUUGGAGACUAUAGGUGAAGAGUAUUUUGGCAUCUUAGCUUCUCGCUCUUUCUUUCAAGAGUUUGAGAAACGUUAUGAUAAUCGUAUUAUAGCGUGCAAGAUGCAUGAUAUGGUACAUGAUUUUGCCCAAUUUGUUAGUCAAAAUGAAUGUUUUUCGUUGGAAGUUAAUGGUAGUGAGGAACUAAACGUCACAAACUCUACAAACUCUCUUGAUGAGAAGGUCCGUCAUUUAAUGUUAAUCUUUAGUAAAGGGACUUCAUUACCUGUUUCCACUCGUAGAGUUAAAAGAAUGCGUACCCUCUUAAUUAACGAUAGUAGAUCUGAUCAUUCAUUAUUAAAUGGUGAGAUCCUAGAAGAAUUAUUUAGGGAAUUGACAAGUUUAAGGGCAUUAGAUUUUGGCAAAUCGUAUAACUCAAGUUGGUCUUCGACUGUGGAGAUUCCGAGAACCAUAGAAAAGCUGGUACAUUUAAGGUACCUGAAUUUGUUUUAUCAGGGAAUAAAGAAACUACCGGAGACAUUAUGCGAGUUGUAUAAUCUAGAAAAGUUAGAUAUUAGUAUAUGUUUUAAUCUUAAAGAAUUACCUGAAGGGAUUGGGAAGUUAAUAAACAUGAAGCAUUUACGAAAUAGAGGUACUAGUUCUUUAAGGUACAUGCCAGUAGGGAUUGGGAGAUUAACGGGUCUCAGGACCUUGGAUGAGUUCCACGUGAGUGGAGGAGGAGGUGUUGAUUGUAGGAAAGCAUGUAGGCUUGAAUCUCUCAAAAACUUGGAAAACCUUCGAGUGUGUGGUAUACGUAGACUGGGUGAUGUAUCAGAUGUGGGCGAGGCUAAGCGAUUAGAACUUGACAAAAAGAAAUACCUCUCUUGUUUGAGACUUCGGUUUGAUAAGAAGGAGGAAGAAGAAGGAGAAAGAAGGAAGAACGAGGACGAUCAACUUCUUCUUGAAGCCCUACAACCACCUCUCAAUUUAAAGGAAUUAGAGAUAGAGUACUACCGAGGCAACACUGUUUUCCCCAGCUGGAUGACGUCAUUAACCAACUUAAAGAGUUUAGAUCUCUCUUCCUGCGAAAAUUGCGAGCAGCUGCCUCCUUUGGGAAAAUUGCCAUCCCUUGAAGCACUCAGCCUAUGGGACAUGAAGUGUGUGGAAAGAGUGGGUGAUGAAUUUUUGGGGAUAGAAAGUGAUCAUCAUGGCUCAUCUUCAUCGGUUAUUAUUGCCUUCCCCAAAUUGAAAUCACUUUCAAUUGAGUUUCUGCGCGAAUUGGAGGAGUGGGAUUAUGGGAUUACAAGAACGGGAAACACCGUCAUCAACAUCAUGCCACGUCUUUCUUCCUUGACAAUUGCUCAUUGCCCCAAAUUAAUGGCACUGCCCGACCACUUUCAUCAAACAACAACAUUGAAGGAAUUGCACAUUUGGGAGUGCAGGCUUCUGGAAGAACGUUACCGCAAAGGGGAAGGAGAAGACUGGCCUAAGAUAUCACACAUUCCCAACCUCCGUAUUGGGCUUUGACAAGUAAUUUCUUCUCUUACUCUGAUUUGCUUUGUUGUUGUUUUUAAUCUAAUUAAGAAGCGUAAAUAGCAUUUUGAAUCAAACUCUAUAUCAGAAAUCUGCAAUACUUACUUUCUAAUAUUCUGAUUUUCAUAUCCUAUGAAUAUACAAUUUUUAAUUUGUGAGAUGGGUAACGUUACUGUAAAAGAUUAUUAAUGCAAUAUGAGUAAUUCUUUUGCAGGACAAGUGACCUACAUUUAGUUUGGCUUUGGAGUUGAAUAAUAACCUUUCGAGGUCCCGACAACCAAAAAACGAAGCUUAAUUUGCCACAGAUUGCACGUAUUGCCAUUAUUGACAAUUUUCUGCACAAGCUUAGGUUGAUUUCAAAAGAGGUAAAUUAUUGGCAUGCCUGACUAUUUUGACCAUUACAUGAUUCAUAAGUUUACAUUAAUUUUGAUUUUGAGUUGAGUGAUUAGUUUUUAUACCCGGAAUAUGCAAAAGUUUCUAAUAUUUUAUUUCCAUCUGUUACAAGAUCAAACUGAAGUAGAACUCAAACAAAAGUAUGCUACUUCUUGCGGAAAUCUUGCCUUUGUUCAGAUUAUGAAACCAUUUCCAUGCAGCAAAUUCAUCCAAAAGUUUGAAUAAGUUUCAUGGUUGGACACUGUUGGCUUCUUUUUCUUCUGGGGUGCAUUUAGGUGCUAUCAAGUGACAGCUAAGUAUGAUUGCACUAAGCUGCCGCUGGGAAAUUUGAGGUUUUGAUGGCUGCCCAUGUUAUUUUCAAGAAACUAUUGAUGUAAGAAGCUGUGGUUCUUUUCAUCAGCUUGAACCUGAAACUGUCGCUAUGGAUAACUCAGGUUUUUGUUAUCAACUAUGUUGAUGCGAGAUUCCGGUUCUCCUCGUUCUACGACCAGGAUCUCUGCUCGAUCAACUUCACCACGACCAGGAGGUCUCCUAGUAAUGCUUCUUCUCCAGAUGUCCCUGCACACACAGACAAGUCAGAGUACGCCGGUUGUUCUCCCGGCGCAAACCCUCCGACGCUCAAGUCAGAUAUGAAGGUUCGGGGAACGCUUGCCACAGGUCUUAUGGCUUUUUCGUGGUUUUCUCUUUUAUCUCAAAAAUGCUAACCCUUUUACCUUCGUUGGCUACCUUUUUAUAGGCUUCCUCUGAAUCCCAGUUUUCCGCUUUUUUCGAGACGGUCUGGGGCUCUGACUGCUGCGUUAUGGGCAAACGUGGGAUCUUGCGUGUUACGCCACGGUUCAGGGGAAAGCGUGGCUGUCGUGGUUCUGUGAGAUCUUGUGUGUUACGCCACGGUUCAGGGGAAAGCGUGGCUGUCGUGGUUCUGUGAGAUCUUGCGUGUUACGCCACGGUUCAGGGGAAAGCGUGGCUGUCGUGGUUCUGUGAGAUCUUGCGUGUUACGCCACGGUUCAGGGGAAAGCGUGGCUGUCGUGCCUAGAUUCUUGGGCUGGAGAGUAUGUCUUGCCAACUGCCGUCGACCGGGUCUCCUCGCCUCUCGACCUCUAGCCGGAAUGGCCUUAUGCCUCUUAUAGGAAAUUGGCCUAGCGGAUGACAACAUCGUGGACGAGCAGGAUACUUCUGCUCCUGUUCUGAUGGCUGCCCAUGUUAUUAACACACCGGUUCACAGAACUCCGCUGUGGUUCUUUUCAUCAGCCUGGUCUCGUCGACGUAUUUAUGGAUAACUCAGGUUUUUGUUACAAACUAUAUCAUCUUUUUCACUAUUUUGAAACUCUUAAGAUUAAACUUUAGUAAAGUUGUUUCAGCUAUUCAAAUGAAAAACUCAUUGAUUUGAGACUUCCUUCAUUAUUGUUUCUAAUUACAGUGCUAACGAUCCAGAUAAAAUAAUAUUUAAUCGGCGAAGGUGUCCCUUGGAAGUACAUCCUUCUUUUUCUUUUAUUAUAUAAAUUCUUGCAAUGAGCUUAGUGAAGCUGUUGUGCUAAUCAUGCCACUGCAUAACUUGGCCCCUAAUGUGGGUACUCUGUUACAUUGUUCUGCAAAUUCUCCAGAAGUUAAAAUCAAUAAAUUUUCUAUUAGCUCUAGUGCUUUGACCUAAAUGCUAUUCUAUAUUCUGAUUACAAUGUUUUAACCUUUAAAUUAACUACCCCUAGAUGUUGGAUUUUCUAGAACUUCAAAAUGAUUAAUGGAGAAAGAUCCCAUUAUCGUUAUUGCUAUAAGAAAUUGAUUUAUGCAUCCAAAGAUACAUUAUAUAUUUCUGUGUCUCUAUUUAUGGAUGACAUUUAAUCAUCCAUAAACUGUCAGACAGAGGAAGGGGGUUCAGUGCAAAGAUUCUGUUGACCUAGGGUUGACUGCAUAUGUCACUUGUUCGCAAUCUAUUAUUUAUUUUAUAUUUUGAAGAAUUUAAUGGGUAAUCCUAAUUGUUUGUUUUGGCAGGUUUGUGUUGUUAUCUCCUUCUAUCUUACAGUCGUACCUAAAUAGCAUAGUUUCAUCUGUGUUACCAUGUGAUGUACAUAAUUUCACAUUUGCCUCAGAUUAAGCUUAAUUUCCCACAGAAUAGAGCUGUCGCGACUGGACUUAGGUUGAUGUCCAAAGAGGUAAAUUAUUGGCAUGCCUAGAUAAUUUGGCCAUUUCCUAAUUCAUAAGUCUACAUUAAUUUUGAUUUUGAGUUGACUGAUUUCUUUUCAAGGUCUGCUUCCUUAACGGAGUGACCAAUGUUUUUCAACUAAAUUUAUCAUAUGAUGCAGGAAGCAGGGCAGGAUAUGAAAUGAGAAGCUCAUUGGUGGAAGUAUUUCCAGUAGCAGAACCCAAUGAAAAUGAAACUAUUUCAAGGCAGCAGUUGGCAGUUGCAAGUGAAUGGAGGCCCUGACAAAAUUCUCAAGCGGUUGCAAUGCAAUUACGAUCAUCCUCAGCCUCAGGUAAUUUCUUCUCCUGCUCUGUUUUUAUCUGUUAUCUAAUUAAAAAGCAUAAAGUAUCUUGAAUCACUUUCUGUAUCUGGAAUAUAUGCAGCAGUUUCUAAAAUCUUCAUAUGAGUGUAAUGAUGGUAAUUUCUGUUUUUUGUCUGUCUUUGAAUGUUAGACAACUUUCAGUGAGACUCUUGAACCGAGACAUUUUUGACAAAUGAAGGACAAUUGCUGAAGAGUGGGAAUGGUGCUAGAUUGGGGAAUAAAGACAAAGGAGGUAAAUUAUUUGCAGUUUAUUCAGCAUUAUUUGCUUUGGACCAGCGCCUGAUUCACAAGUCUCCAUAAUUUGGCUUUUGACCAGUUGUUAAUAAAUUUUUUUAUUCCAUUGGUGCUAAAUGUACACGUGAAGCAGGCAGAGCAGGACUGUGGAAAUGAGAAGGUUUUUAGUGAAAGCUUAAACUCAGGUAAUUCUAAAAAGUACAUGUUUUUGCUGAUUUAUCUAAAUCAGGAAAUUUUAUUUCCAUCUGUUACAAGAUAAAACAGAAACAGAACACAAAGAAAAAUAUUCUACUUCGUGUGGCAAUCUUGCCUUCAUUCAGACAAUGAAACCAUUUCCUUUCACCAAUUUCUUCCAAAAGUUUGAAUAAGUUUCAUGGUUGGACAUAGUUAGCUUCUUUUUCUUUUGGUGCAUUUAGGUCCUAUCAAGUGACAGCCAUAAGUAUGAUUGCAUUAUCGGGAAAUUUUAGAUUUCGAUGGCUCCCCAUGUUAUUGCCAAGAAAGUCCUCAUGUCAGAAGCUGCGGUUCUUUUCAUCAGCCUGAACCCGAACCUGUCGUUAUGGAUAACUCAGGUUUUUGUCAUCAACUAUAUCAUCUUUUUUACUGUUUUGAAACUCUUAAGAUUAAACUUCAGUAAAGUUGUUUCAGUUAUCCAUGUAAUCAGGCUAAGGAUAUUUAGCAGCUUAUUUAGGCAACUGCCAGAAUUCAGUUUGUUCGCUCGAAACUUGUAUGGUGACAAGGAUACUGGCAAGGAUAGUGAGAUAGUUUUUUGUGUGAGUGAAAUUUGAAAGCUUGGGUGUUCUGGGAUUUGCAAUUGCAAUCAUCCUCUGAGUCAGGUGAUUUCUUCUUCUGCUCUGUCUUUAUUUUCUCUCUAAUUGAAAGCAUAAAGUAUUUCAAUCAAAUUCUGUACCAGGAAUACGUAAAAGUUACUAAUAUUUUAUUUCCAUCUGUUUGCAUAGAUAACUUGGCGGCAUAUGUUCUAGUUAAAGAACAAACAGAAACAGAGUUCAGGAAAAAGUUUCUUCGGCCACCAUAUUUGAAAAUGAAACCAUUUCCAGGAAGCAGUUGGCAGCAAAUUCAUAUGGAGUGUAGACAAUGAUGAGCAAAAAGGUGAUUCGCAAUUUCUUUUUUUUUUUAAGUGAAAUUAUUUGUUAGAUUGAAGCUGAUAUUGUAAGAAGGCCAUUGAGCUAACCUAUGUCGCCACUUGCCUAGAUUGCAGGGGGUCAAGACUCAAAAGAAGCACUGAAAUUUAAAAAGCAUGCAAUAGUUCUUUUACCAUGUGUCAAUUAAUGCAAGUUUGAAUAAGUUUAUUGGCUGAACGAUGUUAGCUUCUUUUCCUUUCGUGCACUUUGGUAUGCUAUCAAGUGACAGCCGUAUGUAUGGCUUGCAUAUAGCUGCUGCUGGGAAAAUUGACGAUUUCAUGGCUGGCCGUGUUAUUGUCUUAAAUUAGUUGUGAUAAGCUGUUGCUUGGAGAUUCUGUUGCCAAGACUUUGCUCACAUCAGAAGCUGUGGAAUCUGAACCCUUCGUUAUGUAUCAUCUUUUUCAUUGUUUUAAAACUCUCAGGAUUAAACUUGAGCGAAUUUGUUCGGUUGUCUAUAUAAUCAUGUAUUGAGUAAACUCUCAGGAUACUGAGCAGGCAAAUGUUAUAACUCGGUUUGUUAGCCAAAAACUUGUUGAAGAUUCUUGACAAAGCUGCAUCAAGUGAAUUGUCGGAGCUCUGAGGGUGAGAGAAAUUAGAGGAUUUGGAUUUGUUAGGAAGUUAUCAUAUUUAUUUUUAUUUUUUUAUUUUUCCCAGAAAAUCUUCUGGUGGUGCUAUAUUUUCAAACGACAGUCCGAUUCAAAACUUGAUAUUCCAAUUAUAUUCAUAAGCUUCUAUAGUUAUCUUCAAAAAGACAAAUGGAAGGCUUUGAACGGCUUGGGUCUGAGUAUUGUAGUUUGAUUUAUUUUGAUGAAAGUACCUUUUGACAUUGAGAUUCUUUCUUGAGUUAAACAUUCUUUUUAAAACCAACUUAUUAAAAAAAAAGUAACUAACAUAUAUUAUUUUGUUAGUGCUUUUUAAAUCAAAUAUAAAAAAGAGAACUGUAAUUCUUAGCAACCAAUUUUUCACUGAGUACAGCUACAACAAACUAUUAAAAAAUAAAGUGAUAGAAAAUGCCUGAUUUUUCGUACUUUCUAAUUACUUUUGGUCCUAAAAUAUGGCGAUUUGUGUAAUAAUAAGCCCAUGUAUAUCUUUAUGCCAUUAGUUUGAUAAAUAGCUAUCAAGGAUAACUUAUUAAGCUAAAAAUAUUUGAAGGAUAAAUUGGUAAAACUAAAAGGGUGGAGUAAUAAAACAACAGCUGCAGAUCUCGAAUGCAUCUUCAUUACAGUAUGUUCCAAGGAAGUGUAAUGCCAUAGCUCAUGCUAUAGCAAAAGUGGCUCUGGAUUUUGAGAAUUCUGUUAUAUGGCUGGAAGAGUUUCCAGUCCAGAUCAUGAUGUUACUCUCAAAUUUUAUCAAUUAGAAAGCUUUACUUUCUUUUCAAAAAAAAAAAAAAAAACAAGAAUUUCCAAUUACCUGCAAAGUCAGCUGCGAAGUUAACUCCUGAGCUGAGAAGGUGGCCUAGCAAAGUCUCUGGGCCCAAUAAAAAUGUGCUUUUUGCAGUAAAACAGUGUGUCCGUGGGAGAAGGUAGCAGCGGAAAACCAAGCCUCUCACAAGACAUGUUUCAAGUGCUCACAUGGUGGUUAUUCCAUUAGCCCGUCAAAUUACGCAGCCCUAGAAGGCAUCUUGUAUUGCAAACAUAAUUUCUCCCAAUUGUUCAAGGAAGAAGGCAGCUACAACCACCUUAUAUCAAAUCUGCUUCCAUGAAGCGUGCUGCAGUCUCUGUUCAAGAAGCUUGAACAUGUUAUGUUAUCUUCCAUAAAUCUUAUUUGGCGUGGGUUUUCUCUGGCUUGAGGGUGUGCUUUCUAUUUUGAUCCCUCUUGUUGUUUUUGCGGGGAACUACCAAACCUUCGGUUCCCUCUGCUUCUUUGGAUCAUCUUUGUUGGGACAAAUUUCAUGUAAUUAGAGAUACUGAUUUAUGGGAGGCAUAAUCCCAUGGUCGUAAAUUGACCAUUUUCUGGCAAUGUUCUUUUUAAAAAGAGAUGAGCAGUUGUUUAAAAAAAAAAAAAAAUAGCUUGCCUUCAUCAUUGUAUGUUACCAAAGUGCUAUGUAUAGCUGCUGACUAUGAGCAUCCGAAAAUGGUGCAUCGUGAUUCAUGUAGUGCAAUAUGGCUACCAACGCAUCCUAAAUGGAGUAUUACUCAGUUAGGGUGUGUUUGGGAUUGAGGUUCUGUAGCUUUUAAGCUACAGCUGUUGUGAAAAAAAAGCUGUAAUUAUGAAACAAAAGUUAAUAAUAUAUAGUAAAUAUAAAUUUUAAAUAAUAAUUUUGAUAAGAUUAUUAAAGAUAUAAUAAAUUUUAUAUUAUACAAGUGAAAAAUAAUAUCAACAUAGCUUAAAAGCUACAGCAGUUAGUGUUUACCAAACACUUUAGUGCUGUAGUUUUUAAGCUAUAACUGCCCAACCUCAAUCCCAAACGCACCCUUAGUCAGCAAAAUAAGACAACAUAACUGAUAUUAAAAAAAAAACUACAUUAAUAAGUGGGCAAGAUCAUGCCAGUUUAACUUUUCGCGCGUCGCUGCUGGAGAUAAUCAAAUCAGGGCAGAGAAAAGGAGAAUGGAAUCAGAGGCUAAGAUUAAUAAGUGGGCUUCUGCUUGCUUUGCCCCUCUUUCUUAAACGAUUGGUAGACUGCUGCUUCCACCGAUUAACCGGGUCUUCAACCACUGCUUUUACUGCCUGCCAUCUUGUUGUUUGUCGAAGGGAUGAAUUCGAUUCGAAAAGAGAAAGCGCGCUGAAAAAGAUAAAUCACUAGUGGUUAACUGCUGACUCAGCCAAGUGUUGGCUUCACUUGAUUCACCGAUUGAGGUUAUUUUGUCUUCUAUCUAAUGCAGCGAAGAAGCUUUGCUGCUUAACAUGCUGCAAUGCAACUUUAUCCUUUGAAGUUCACACUUCAGGGCUGGGCACUUUAUGUAAUCCUAUGAGUAAAAAGAAUUUGUUUUCAAAUGUGAAAAAAGAAAAUGUAAGGUAGUAACUAAAUAUAUUAUAGCAUCCAAGCAAGAUUUGAUAUGAAUUUAGUACAACAAAGAACAUCAAAUCUGUGAUUCCUUGUCUAAUGUCACCAUCGAGCAACAAAUUUAAAAGCCUACCUAUCAAAUACACGAGGCAAUAAACGGAGAAAAAUUUGAAUUACAAGAACAAGUUUACAAUUCUUGUCAAUGGUUAAUGAUUCGUGAACUGAGAUAGCAUUCAAGAAUCCAAUUUCAAUACAACAACGUAAAAGAUAAACAGAUGAUGAAUUUAUGAGAUAAAGAAGGAGAUCAUGUUUUAUCGUAUCUCUAUUUUCUUUCUUUUUAAAUUUAAAAUAAGCUUUUCAACCGGUUUGUUAACCGGUUAUAAUAUUUUUUUAAAAUAAUUAAAUAUUUUCAUUAUUAAAAAUAAUGUGUACCGUUGAUUAUAUCUAACGGUACAUAUUUCUUACACUACUAAUACCGUAAAAAAAAAUACAGCAUCAUAGAGGGACCCUUAAAACAUUUUCAUUUGAAAUUAUUUGGUGUAGUAAAAAAGUUAAGAAAGAAAUAGUUGUCCCUUUGGUCAUUUCACAAAAAUGAAAGCCCCAUAAAAGAUAAACAGAUGAUGAAUUUUAUGAGAUAAAGAAGGAGAUCGUGUUUUAUCGUAUCUCUAUUUUCUUUCUUUUUAAAUUUAUGAGAUAAAGCGGUUGGUCCAGUUACGGUGUUAUGCUAACGGGUUUAAAGGUUCCGAUCCAAUGAGUUAGGGUGGAAUAUGAAUAUAUAAAUUCCAUAGCUAAGGACUAGGAUUUGUUUGUUCAUAUCAAGAAAAAAGAUCUGAAAAUUUGAUGAUCAGAAGAUAAAAACACUUAAACACGUUUAUUUCAGAGAAACAAACGACAACAUGAUACUAGUAGUAGUUAUUCUUUUCAUCCGAUAUAUUACAUUGUAAUAUCACUACUCGUUCCACUGGUUUCAUAUACACCAUCGACCAGCAACAUGAUAAUUUCGUGUCAGUUCAUUUUGUUUGUAGGAAAGAGCAGUGUAUUUCUUAGAGCUUGAAAAUAAUAAAAAGAUUUUAAAAUAUAAAUUGCAUAUUUGUUUAUUACUGUUGUUUGGUCUAAUUUCUUAUGUAGAAUUGCUUGUCAUUCUUUGGACGUUAUUGAUUAUAUUUUUGUCAGACUUGGCGUAUACAUUCACAUACGUUUUAUUUUGUCAUUUUGUAGAACAUUUUUACACGCCAUAUUAUCACGACUCUUCUGUGUCUGAAUAAGAAGAAAGCAUAAUGCGACCCUCCAACAGCUUAAUCUAUGGAAUUAUCGUGUUUUGUAAGUUGAGGUCCAAUGGCGUUUUGGCACAUCAUAUGAUAGACCACUAUAUUGCGUUGCUUUACAAAAGAUUAAUAUUUUUAAAAUUAUUAACUCAUGAUAUGAUAGUCCAGGUUUUCGAGGACCACUAUAUUGUAUUGAUUUUUAAAAAAAAUUAAUAUUUUUUAAUAUUAAUAUUCUAAAUUAUAUUCAGUUAAAAUAUUAAAUAUUAAAUACAUUCUUAAUAUUAAUACUCUUAGAUGAAAUUCUUUUGCUGACUUAAGAAUAAAAUAUUAAAUAAUUUUAUUUUUCUUUUAUUGUGUAACGUGGACCCAAAAAAAAAAGGAAAUGAAUUUAAUAAAACCUUCCUUCCGCCACCAUGCAUGUUAAUUGUUUCCAAAUUCCAACCUCCGUACUCUCUUGAGGAGUUUCCCAUUCAUCAAUUAUUAUUUUUUAUAAUCCAUACCAUCCUGAUAUAAUUAAACACCAUUAAUAAUGUACCAGCCUUUAAAUAGUAAUUUAUUUAUUUAUCUAAUUCACCAAAUGUCAUUUCCUGUACAUAUCUCCAUUGGUAUCAAGAAGAAGCAGAACCCAAAGAAACGUUUCUUGCAUCUUCAUAUUUGUGCGAAUUCAUCCUUUCAUUGAGAAUAACCAUUUCCAGGCAGCAGUUGCCAAUCAAUUCAUGCGCACGUCGAUGCUAUUCAUAGAUAUUAAAGACAAUGAUGAACCAAAGGUGAUAAAUCAUAAAUGCAUAAUUACCAAACCUCCAUCCUUCUCUCAUUAUGAUUUGAUUUUAAAUGAAUUAUUGCUUGGUAACAUUAUUUCCAACCAUUGCAAGAUUUUUUUUGGAGAAAUUUUAAUUGAAAGUAAAACCUUUAGACAUUUACCUAAUGAAGUUAGUUAAUCGGGAGGGUGGAAAAAAAAAAGUUGACGCAAGUCAAUACACAAUAAUUAAUCAAAUCCGGAGUGACUAAAACAGAGCCACUACUUUUUUAAAAAUAUCUGCCUUCAUCACUUUCUCCAGCAGCUAGUCAGCUACACACGAGUCAAUUUCUCUCCUCGAUUGUCAUCCAAAAUUAUUCACCAAUACCAUGGCUGAUGCAAUCGUUUCCACUAUCUUGGAGCAGCUGAUUUCCUUCGCUGCUGAAGAGAUAAAACAACAGGUGAUCGAAGUUACACCCCUCAGAUUACAAAUACUUCCAAUGAUUUUAUUUGGUUUUGCUUUUAUCAAAAACAUUAUAUAUUUUUGCUUUAUUUUAUUUAUCUGGUAAUUUUAGAUUUUGAAAUUUGAAUUGAAUUUAAUUAAAAGGUGAUGUAGUAACCACUUAUUUUUAUUUUAUCUCAUUUAUAUUCUCAAUAACUACUCAUAUUUUGGUAACUUACUAUAACUUCCAUAUCUAAGAAAUGAUCCAAACCCACAAUUUUAACUCAGCACGAAUAUUCAAUGGUGAUCUAAGCUUUUGCAGAACACUCAAGUUUGUCAAACAGUCAUUAAUUCAAUGUUUAGUAAAAAAAACACUUCUCAGCACAGAAUUCCAUGUCCAUUACUUAGACUCUAUGAAAAAUUUCAUAAUUUUCUCACAUUAUUUGAGUUUGGUAAGUGAUUUCAUAUAAUUUCUUUUCAAUAUAAAUUUUAAUUUGGUUUCUUAUAUACUCUCUUUGCUGAAUUUGUAUCUUUUAUGAUUCUUAGAUUUUGGGCUCUAACUUUUUAGGAUUUGAUAGUCACAUUUUAUGCCAUGCUUAAAUUGAUUUUCAUGAUUUUUACUACCCGUUAAGUGACUUAGAAUUUGACAAAAGUUUGAAAGGAAAUCUACUUCAGGAUUCUGUUUUAAUUGACCUUUUAGUGGAAAUAAGAUGCUUAUAACUUAAUGUGGAUGUACAAGACUCUCCAUGAAGUCUCAUAAUUUUUCAUUCGGUCUGGGGUGUUACAGGUGAAGCUUGUGGUUGGUGUCGAAAAAGAAGUGAAAAGCCUUACCGGCCACCUUCAAGCCAUUCAAGCUGUGCUCGAUGAUGCCGAGGAAAAGCAAGUGAAGGACAAAGCUGUUAGUCUUUGGCUAGGUAGGCUCAAGUACGCAUCCUACGACAUUGAAGAUGCGUUGGAUGAAUGGAUCACAGGAAGACGCAAAUAGCAAAUUGAGGGUGGCAUUGGUGAAAAUGCUCUUAUUGCUCCUCAUAAGAAAAAGAAGGUACGUUUCUGCUUUCGUGCCUCUUGUCUUGGAUUCAAACAAGAAGAAUUUGGCUUCAAACAAGUCUUUCUACGUCAUGACAUUGCUGACAAGAUCAAAGAAAUCAAUGAAGAGCUACGUAAUAUUGCCACUCAAAGAGACAUGUUUAAAUCUGAGAGUGGCAGUAAAAGUAGUGAAAGACCCAGGCGUGUACAGAGUACCUCCUUGAUUGAUGAGGAAGAGAUUUGUGGUAGAGUUGGUGAGAGGAAUGAACUCUUAAGCAUGCUGUUGUGUGAGAGUAGGGAGCAACAAAAAGGCCUUCAUAUCAUCUCAAUCGUUGGUAUGGGAGGCAUAGGAAAAACAACUCUUGCACAACUAGCAUGUAAUCAUGUUGAGGUGAAGAGAAAGUUUGACAAACUUUUAUGGGUGUGUGUAUCGGACCCUUGUGAGCAGUUUAGGAUUGCCAAAGCGAUCGCUGAAGCUUUAGGCAUUCCCUCUUCUAAUUUAGGUGAAUUUCAAUCUCUUCUUAAACUUAUAUCUGAAUCUAUUACUGGAAAACGAUUUCUUCUUGUCUUAGAUGAUGUGUGGGAUGGAGAUUGUAUAAAAUGGGAACCAUUCUACCUUUGUCUAAAGAAUGGUCUCCAUGGAAGUAAAAUUUUGGUUACCACACGUAAAAAAUCAGUUGCAUCUAUGAUGGGAUCUACUAAUACUGAUAUUGUCACUGUCAUGGAAUUGGCUGAAGAAGAAUGUUGGUCAUUGUUUAAGCGGUUAGCAUUUUUCGGUCCGUCUAUUAAUGAUUGUGAAAAUUUGGAACAAAUUGGGCGAAGAAUUGCAGGCAAGUUUAAAGGUUUGCCUCUUGCUGCAAAGACAAUAGGGAGUCUCAUGCGCUCUAAACAAAUUGAAGAAGAGUGGGAAAGGAUUUUAAAUAGUGAUUUAUGGAGAGUAGAAGAGAUGGAGAAAGGUGUUCUGUCCUCAUUGGUGUUGAGUUACAACGAUUUGCCGUCCAAAGUAAAAAUAUGUUUUUCCUAUUGUGCUGUCUUUCCAAAAAACUACAAUAUAAAAAAAGAUGAACUAAUUACAUUGUGGAUGGCUCAAGGUUAUCUUAGUGCAGAACAAAAUAAGGAGAUGGAGACUAUAGGUGAAGAGUAUUUUAGCAUCUUAGUUUCUCGCUCUUUCUUUCAAGAGUUUGAGAAAAGUUAUGAUAAUCGUAUUAUAGAGUGCAAGAUGCAUGAUAUGGUACAUGAUUUUGCCCGAUUUGUAAGUCAAAAUGAAUGUUUUUCGAUGGAAAUUAAUGGUAGUGAGGAACCAAACACCAUAAACUCUCUUGAUGAGAAGGUUCAUCAUUUAAUGUUGAUCAUUGGUAGGGAGGCUUCAUUUCGUGUCCCUAUUUGUAGAGUGAAAAGAAUUCGUAGCCUCUUAAUUGAUAAUAGUAGAACUUCUCGUUCGUAUUUUAAUGGUGAGAUCCUAGAAGAAUUAUUUAGGGAAUCGACAAGUUUAAGGGCAUUAGAUUUUUGGGGAUCAUAUGUCGUAAGCCCAUUUUCGACUCUAAAGAUUCCAAGAAACAUAGAAAAUCUAGUACAUUUAAGAUACCUUAACCUGUCUUGUCAGAACAUAAGGAAACUACCGGAGACAUUAUGUGAGUUAUAUAAUCUAGAAAAGUUAUAUAUUACUCGUUGUCUGUAUCUUGAAGAAUUACCUGAAGGGAUUGGGAAGUUAAUAAACAUGAAGCAUUUACUAAAUUAUCGUACAGAUUCUUUAAGGUACAUGCCAGUAGGGAUUGGGAGAUUAACGGGUCUUAGGACCUUGGAUGAGUUCCAUGUGAUUGGAGGAGGAGGUGUUGAUGGUAGGAAAGCAUGUUGGUUUGAAUCUCUUAAAAACUUGAAACACCUUCAAGUAUGUGGUAUACGCAGAUUGGGUGAUGUAUCAGAUGUGGGCGAGGCUAAGCGAUUAGAACUUGACAAAAAGAAAUACCUCUCUUGUUUGAGACUUUGGUUUGAUAAGAAGGAGGAAGGAGGAGAAAGGAGGAAGAACGAGGAGGAUCAACUUCUUCUUGAAGCCUUGCGACCACCCCUGGAUUUAAAGGAAUUAGAGAUACGGUACUACCGAGGCAACACUGCUUUCCCCAGCUGGAUGACGUCAUUAAUCAAUUUAAGGAGUUUAGAUCUCUCUUUGUGCGAAAAUUGCGAGCAGCUGCCUCCUUUGGGAAAAUUGCCGUCCCUUGAAAAACUCAGCCUAUUGCACAUGCGGAGUGUGAAAAGAGUGGGUGAUGAAUGUUUGGGGAUAGAAAGUGAUCAUCAUGGCUCAUCUUCAUCUUCAUUAGUUAUUAUUGCCUUCCCUAAAUUGAAAUCACUCACAAUUUCUUCCAUGUUGGAAUUGGAGGAGUGGGAUUAUGGGAUUACAAGAACGGGAAACACCGUCAUCAACAUCAUGCCACGUCUUUCUUCCUUGGAAAUUGUUGCCUGCCCCAACUUAAAGGCACUGCCCGACCACAUUCAUCAAACGACAACAUUGAAGGAAUUGCGCAUUGUGCAUUGUGGGCUUCUGGAAGAACGUUACCGCACGGGGGAAGGAGAAGACUGGCCUAAGAUAUCACAAAUUCCCAACAUAGAUAUUGAUUAAGAAGGAGAAGAGUGGCCUAAGAUAUCUCACAUUCCCAACCUCGCGAUUUGGCCUUGACAAGUAACUCCUUCUCUUACUCUGAUUUGCUUUGUUGUUCUUUUUAAUCUAAUCAAGAAGCAUAAAUAGCAUUUUGAAUUAAACUCUAUAUCAGAAAUCUGCAAUACAUAUUUUCUAAUAUUCUGAUUUUCAUAUCUUAUGAAUGUACGAUUCUAAUUUGCGAUAUUUAACGUUGCUGUAAAAUAUUAUUAAUGCAAUAUGAGUAAUUCUUUUGCAGGACAAGUGACCUAAGUUUAGUUUGGCUUUGGAGUUGAGUAAUAACCUUUCGAGGUCGCCACUAUAAAAAAGCGAAGCUCAAUUUGCCACAGAUUACAUGUAUUGCCAUCAUUGACAAUUUUCUGGAUAAGUGAUGAAGGGUGAGAAUGGUGCUAGAAUAUUGAAUAAAGCUGUCGUGACUGAACUUAGGUUGAUGUCAAAAGGGGUAAAUUAUUGGCAUGCCUAGCUAAUUUGACCACUUCCUGAUUCAUAAGCCUAUAUCAAUUUUGAUUUUGAGUUGAGUGAUUAAUUUUCAAGGUUUGCUUACUUAACCGGUGACCACUUUGUUGUAACUAAAUGUAUCAUAUGAUGCAGGCAGCAGGGCAGGAUAUGAAAUGAGUAGUUUAUUAGUGGAUGGAUUGCCAGAAGCAGAACCCAAAGAAAAUGAAAACAUUUCGAGGCAGCAGUUGGCAGUUGGCCGUGAAUGGAGCCCCUUGAAAAAAUUCCCAACCCAUUGCACUGCAAUUACGAUCGUAAGUAUGAUUGCACUGCAAUUUCGAAGCUUCUUCUCCUGCAUUUUUGUUAUUUGCUAUCAAGUGACAUUCGUAAGUAUGAUUGCAUUAAGCUGCUGCUGGGAAAUAUGAGGUUUUGAUGGCUGCCCAUGCUAUUGUCAGAAGCUGCGGUUCUUUUCAUCAGCCUGAACCUGGACCUGUCGCCAUGGAUAACUCAGGUUUUUUUUUUUUUAAUCAACUACGUCAUCUUUUCCACUGUUUUGAAACUCUUAAGAUUAAACUUUAGUAAAGUUGUUUUAGUUAUCCAUGUAAUCAGGCUGAGGAUACUUAGCUGCCUAUUUAGGCAAAUGUCAGAAUUUAGUUUGUUCGCUGGGAACUGGUGUGGUGACAGCGUCCUGGCAAAGGAUGAUGAGAUAGUUUUUUGAUUGAGUAAAUUUUGGGAGCUUGAGUGUAUUGGGAUUUGCAAUUACAAUCAUCCUCUGCCUCAGGUGAUUUCUUCUCCUGCCCUGUCGUUGUUUGUUCUCUAAUUCAAAAUUAUAAAAUAUUUCAAUCAAAUUUUAUGCCAGGAAUAUGCAAAAGUUUCUAAUAUUUUAUUUCCAUCUGUUUGCCUUGAUAACUUUGCGGCAUAUGUACUAGUUAAAGAACAAAUCGAAACAGAGCUCAGUUAAAAGUUUCUUCUGCCGUCAUAUUUGAAAAAUGAACCCAUUUCCAGGAAGCAAUGGGCAGCAAAUUCAUAUAAAGCGUAGACAAUGAUGAGCAAAAAGGUGAUUCACAAUUUCACUUUUUUUAAUGAAAUUAAUUGUUUGGUUGGAGCGGAUAUUGUUAGAAGGCCAUUGAGCUAACCUAUGUCACUACUUGCCUAGAUUACAGGGGGUCAAAACUCAAAAGAGGCAUUGAAUUUUAAAAGGCAUCCAAUAAUUCUUGUGGCCAUAUAUCAAUUCAUGUAAGUUUGAAUGUAAUUAUUGGUGAAGGGGUUUCACUUCCCGUCUCUAAAUAAAAAUACUGAUUCUUUAAGGUACAUGCCACUAGGGAUUGCGAGAUUAACGAGUCUUUGGACAUUGGAAGAGCUCCUUGUGAGUGGAGGAGGAGAUGUUGAUGGUAGCAAAGCAUGUGGGCAGUUGGCUUGAAUCUCUUAAAAACUUGGAACUCCUCCAAGCGUAAGUAUACGUGUACUGGGAAAUGUGUUAGAUGUGGAUGAGGCUAAGAGAUUAGAGCUUGACAAAAUGAAAUACCUCUUUCAUUGAGACUUAAAUUUGAUGGGGAAGAAGAAAAAGAAGAGGGAAGGAGGAAGAAUGAGGAUAAUCAACUUGUUCUUGAAGCCUUGCAACCACCUCUGAAUUUGAAGGAAUUAGAGAUUUGGUUAUACAGAGGCAACAUUGUUUCCCCCCGGAUGAUGCAAAAAUUGAAGGAAUUUACCAAUCUAAGGAGUUUGACACUCUUUAAAACUGCAAAAAUUGAGAGCAGUUGCCUCCUUUGGGAAAAUUGUAAUCCUUUGAAAAUCUCAGCAUAUUGUACAUGGAGAGUGUGAAAACAGUGGGUAAUGAAUUUCUGGGAAUAGAAAGUGAUCUUCAUGACUCAUCUUCAUCUUCAUCAGUUAUUAUUGCCUUCCCCAAAUUGAAAUCACUUUCUUUCAGUUGAGGGAUUGAUGGAAUUGGAGGAGUGGGAUUAUGGGAUUAAAAGAACAGGAAACACCUUCACCAACAUUAUGCCACGUCUUUGAACCUUGGAAAUUAGUGUGGGGUUAUGGGAUCGCACAACGACGUUGAAGGUAUUGCAGAUUGUGGCAUGUGGUACUCUAAGAAGACGUUACAGACAGGGGAGAGCAGAAGACUGGCCUAAAAUGCUAAUGUGGAGUACAAUCAUAAAAUGCUAAUGUGGCCACCCUGGUUCUUAAAUUAAGGUUGUGCAUAUUAUUGUAAAAGAUGAUUAAUUCAAUUUGAGUCAUUCGUUUGCUUUGAUAAUGAUAGUAAUUUUAUAUUUGACAAUUUGCAAGGUGAGAAUGGUGCUGAUUGGUGAUACAGGAUAUGGUUCAAACACCAUUGAAUAAAGCUACGGACAUGGUGGCUCAACUUAGCUAGAUUGCUGUCAAAAUUGGUAAGUUGGCUUGUCAAUGUAUUGAUGCUUUUGUUUUCUCUCAACCCUAAUUACCUUACCUUCAUUUAGUUUGGCUUUGGAGUUGAGUAAUAACUUUCAAGGUUCUCAAACAGAGCAGGACAACCGAAAAAAAAAGCUUAAUUUGCUACUGAUCACGUGUUACCAAUUAUUUAAGGUAAUUCUCGUUUACUUGCUUCUACGCUAUAGAGUACGUGUUCUGGUUGGUUUAUCUAAUUCAUCAAAUGUUAUUUCCUUAUUGUUCCAUUGAUAUAUUUGUUAGAAAGUGAAACCAUUUCCAGGCAGCAGUUGGCAGUGAAUUCAUGCAAAUGUUGAUGCCAUUCAUAGAUAUUGAAGACAAUGAUGAGCCAAAGGUGAUAAAUCAUUAAUGCAUAGUUACCAAAACCUCCAUCCUUCUGUCAUUGUAAUUUGAUUUGAAAUGAAUAAUUGCUAGGUAAUUGAAGCCAAUAUUGUAAGAAACGGUGUUGAGCUACCCAAGCUAAGAAGUUAGCUGCCAAAAAAUGCAGGGGAUCAAAAGAAGCAUUGCAGUGCUACAAUGCUGCUACUGGGAAAUUUAAAUCCCAUAUUAGACUUUCCUCACAUCAGAAGCUGUGGAUCUUGGGACAUCAGGUUUUUUCACAGUUCUGAAACUCUCAGGAUUAAACUUUAUUAAAGUUGUUGUAGUUGUCUACGUUCUCAGGUCAAGGAUUCUAAGCUGCCUAUUAAGGCAAAAUGUCAGAAUUCCCCUAUUAUUUUUUUUUUCAUGUAAAAUUAUGUUGUUGUCUUCGCCCAUGAAUCUAGCUAAAUUCUGAACCAAUUGUUUGCUAUUAUAAAUUUCAUUGUUAAAUAUUAAUUGUGAUGUUGGUGUUGAGUUUCUUUUAAAGUCACAGAAGCCUGACGAUUGAGUUCCGUGGGAUUCUGAGAAGCAGUAAUAUUUUGAACAAGUGAAGGUUCUUCGUUUUUAAUUAUGUUCUGCACCUUUACAGUAUGAGUAGAUGUCUAAGAGGCGGGAUUUUAAUUUCAUUAAUGCUAAAUUUCGCAAAACAAUAAAAAAAUAAAUGCAUGACAGUGACUUCAAGAAUUUAGAUUAUUGAAUUUGGCCAUUUUAAAAUUGAACCAGAGCUCAGAAAUGUAGAAUAUAAAUAUUGGAGAUUUGAACUUCAAUCAUUAGAUUUGAAGCUAAAGAGGUAAGCCAUUAAUUACAUCAAAGGAUUUGGAAAAUGGAGGAAUUGUAAAAAGGAAACUCUUUCAUCAACUUCAAGCAUUGGGCUUUUUCAUUUGUCCGAUUCAAGAGGAACGUCACAGAAAGGGGUAAAGAGAAGAGUAGCCAAAGAUAUUAAAGACAAUGUUGAGGCAAAGGAAACAUAAAUCCCCACCAUUGCAUGGGAACAUGAUCACAAUAAGGUCAGGAANNNNNNNNNNNNNNNNNNNNNNNNNNNNNNNNNNNNNNNNNNNNNNNNNNNNNNNNNNNNNNNNNNNNNNNNNNNNNNNNNNNNNNNNNNNNNNNNNNNNNNNNNNNNNNNNNNNNNNNNNNNNNNNNNNNNNNNNNNNNNNNNNNNNNNNNNNNNNNNNNNNNNNNNNNNNNNNNNNNNNNNNNNNNNNNNNNNNNNNNNNNNNNNNNNNNNNNNNNNNNNNNNNNNNNNNNNNNNNNNNNNNNNNNNNNNNNNNNNNNNNNNNNNNNNNNNNNNNNNNNNNNNNNNNNNNNNNNNNNNNNNNNNNNNNNNNNNNNNNNNNNNNNNNNNNNNNNNNNNNNNNNNNNNNNNNNNNNNNNNNNNNNNNNNNNNNNNNNNNNNNNNNNNNNNNNNNNNNNNNNNNNNNNNNNNNNNNNNNNNNNNNNNNNNNNNNNNNNNNNNNNNNNNNNNNNNNNNNNNNNNNNNNNNNNNNNNNNNNNNNNNNNNNNNNNNNNNNNNNNNNNNNNNNNNNNNNNNNNNNNNNNNNNNNNNNNNNNNNNNNNNNNNNNNNNNNNNNNNNNNNNNNNNNNNNNNNNNNNNNNNNNNNNNNNNNNNNNNNNNNNNNNNNNNNNNNNNNNNNNNNNNNNNNNNNNNNNNNNNNNNNNNNNNNNNNNNNNNNNNNNNNNNNNNNNNNNNNNNNNNNNNNNNNNNNNNNNNNNNNNNNNNNNNNNNNNNNNNNNNNNNNNNNNNNNNNNNNNNNNNNNNNNNNNNNNNNNNNNNNNNNNNNNNNNNNNNNNNNNNNNNNNNNNNNNNNNNNNNNNNNNNNNNNNNNNNNNNNNNNNNNNNNNNNNNNNNNNNNNNNNNNNNNNNNNNNNNNNNNNNNNNNNNNNNNNNNNNNNNNNNNNNNNNNNNNNNNNNNNNNNNNNNNNNNNNNNNNNNNNNNNNNNNNNNNNNNNNNNNNNNNNNNNNNNNNNNNNNNNNNNNNNNNNNNNNNNNNNNNNNNNNNNNNNNNNNNNNNNNNNNNNNNNNNNNNNNNNNNNNNNNNNNNNNNNNNNNNNNNNNNNNNNNNNNNNNNNNNNNNNNNNNNNNNNNNNNNNNNNNNNNNNNNNNNNNNNNNNNNNNNNNNNNNNNNNNNNNNNNNNNNNNNNNNNNNNNNNNNNNNNNNNNNNNNNNNNNNNNNNNNNNNNNNNNNNNNNNNNNNNNNNNNNNNNNNNNNNNNNNNNNNNNNNNNNNNNNNNNNNNNNNNNNNNNNNNNNNNNNNNNNNNNNNNNNNNNNNNNNNNNNNNNNNNNNNNNNNNNNNNNNNNNNNNNNNNNNNNNNNNNNNNNNNNNNNNNNNNNNNNNNNNNNNNNNNNNNNNNNNNNNNNNNNNNNNNNNNNNNNNNNNNNNNNNNNNNNNNNNNNNNNNNNNNNNNNNNNNNNNNNNNNNNNNNNNNNNNNNNNNNNNNNNNNNNNNNNNNNNNNNNNNNNNNNNNNNNNNNNNNNNNNNNNNNNNNNNNNNNNNNNNNNNNNNNNNNNNNNNNNNNNNNNNNNNNNNNNNNNNNNNNNNNNNNNNNNNNNNNNNNNNNNNNNNNNNNNNNNNNNNNNNNNNNNNNNNNNNNNNNNNNNNNNNNNNNNNNNNNNNNNNNNNNNNNNNNNNNNNNNNNNNNNNNNNNNNNNNNNNNNNNNNNNNNNNNNNNNNNNNNNNNNNNNNNNNNNNNNNNNNNNNNNNNNNNNNNNNNNNNNNNNNNNNNNNNNNNNNNNNNNNNNNNNNNNNNNNNNNNNNNNNNNNNNNNNNNNNNNNNNNNNNNNNNNNNNNNNNNNNNNNNNNNNNNNNNNNNNNNNNNNNNNNNNNNNNNNNNNNNNNNNNNNNNNNNNNNNNNNNNNNNNNNNNNNNNNNNNNNNNNNNNNNNNNNNNNNNNNNNNNNNNNNNNNNNNNNNNNNNNNNNNNNNNNNNNNNNNNNNNNNNNNNNNNNNNNNNNNNNNNNNNNNNNNNNNNNNNNNNNNNNNNNNNNNNNNNNNNNNNNNNNNNNNNNNNNNNNNNNNNNNNNNNNNNNNNNNNNNNNNNNNNNNNNNNNNNNNNNNNNNNNNNNNNNNNNNNNNNNNNNNNNNNNNNNNNNNNNNNNNNNNNNNNNNNNNNNNNNNNNNNNNNNNNNNNNNNNNNNNNNNNNNNNNNNNNNNNNNNNNNNNNNNNNNNNNNNNNNNNNNNNNNNNNNNNNNNNNNNNNNNNNAUGGUAUGCUUGUUAUCAAUUCCAGUCUAAUUCAUUCAUGCUUUGAUGACAUAUGCGGUGCAGCUUCUUAUCUAAGACCUGUAUAUGUUCAGUCAUCAUUCAGUUCUGUAUUUGGCUGCCAUUCUUUCAAUGAAUUCAAACCACUUUCUGAAUACUUGCAAAUUCAUCCAGUGUUGUCAUUGAGAUGCCAAUAUGUAAAGGAGCAAUAGUUGCCCUUGAUAGUAUGCUUAUUGAUUGCCUCUUGCCUCACUCAGCCUAAGGAAUCUGGUUGUAUGGUGUUCUUGUAAUUUCAUUUGGAGAUAAGUAAUAUCUGUUGUUCAAAUGUAUUUUAUAUACAAGCAGUUAAUAAUUCUGCUUGCAGAAAGCUUACAAAGGAGCUGUGUGAUGUAAUAGAAGACUACAGUCUGGUCAAUUUUUCAACCUUAGAUAUUCAGGUCAUCGGUUUCUCUUGAAUUCUUUCUUGAGUUUCUUUGAAUUAUUUGUGAAUAAGAUCUUAGUUGGCUGCUCCUCUUCAGGAUAAGGAAAGUGUGGCAAAACUCGUGAAGCUGAUAGAUAAAAGCAAUGGGUACAUCUUUGCUGGCAUGGAUGCCAGUGCAGUUGAAUUCAGCAAGAUUGCCGUUCGCGAUGUGGAUUGGGAUUAUUACAGAUAUCCUUCUUUUCACCUACUUUCAAUCUUGUGAUUCUCAUAUUCAUAAAACUUUUAUCUUUGAAUUAUUUGUGAUGUAAUAACUUGUGCAUUUGAGAAACUAAUUUUGCUGUUAGGCAGGUUUCAAUCUUGAUUCAUGUGUUUUUCAUAAAUGUACCAAAGUUAUGGAAACUUUUCUUUUUCCCAGAUAUUGUAUCUGCACUUUUUCCCAUGUAAUUGAGUCAGACAAGUUUUGCUUAACAAAGAUGUCUACAGUCGCUGAAGUGCAGGAGGAGUACAUUAAGGAUGAUGACAACAUUGAUUAAAAUGGGACGUGAAGAUAUAUGUUGUGCAAACCGUAAGCCUGCCUCUUACUUUUGUGCAUGUUUACUUGCUUGUGAUUCACGUUUGUUAAUCUAUUUUGCUAUCUUGCAGGAUUUUUAAAGUUUUCAAUCAAUCAAACAUUUAACUCAAGUCCUUAGCUCUUCACUGCUUGAAUGGUGGUUUUAAUCAAACCCCUCCUAAUUAUGAUGUAUGGCCCGAAUCUCGGACUUUUUGUACAAUAUCAAGCGAUUUUUUUUUAGUUGAAUCGGCUAGUGUACACAAAUGUCGAUUAUUGAUUUUUCUCUAGUAUUGUUUGUAAUUACAAGAAACGAAGUAAUGAAAUUUAUCACUGCGUUCAUAGUUAUGCUUAAGCUCAAAGAUCACUGUCAAGAUCAUUUUGGGGCCUCUAUUUGUUCUAUAACAUGAUGUUGACACAUGUCAAAUUAUGAAGCUUGUGAUUAAAAUACUUUUCACAUAUAUAUUUUAAGUACUAUUACUAAUUAAAUAUAUGAAUAAAUAUGGUCAAUGAGGAGAGGAUAAAAUAAAAUGGCUUCAUUUUUUGAAUUACUCAACUGCUUCAAACUUCUAAAAAGUAAAUAUACAAUGAGUGGAAUAUUGAAUUGAGUGCGAGCUGCGGAUAACUUAAAAAAAUUAGAAUACAAGCUUCAAGGAAAGUGUAUUACUAUUCAAAUGUUGAUUUCAAAUUAAGAAGAUAUGCCAGCAAAUUGUAUAAAAAUGUAUAAAUUGAUCAGUAACAUUAAUUCCAAAUGAUGAAAUGAGCUAUCUUGAUCAAAAGGUCAAGAACCUACCUUACUUUUCUUAGAUAUAACUUGCAUCAACCGUUGUGGUAUUGAUACUUAUCUUGAGCAAGUGAAAGUGAAAGUUUUCCAAUUGAAAGAAAGUGAAGGGAAGAUGCGAUGCUCUAAUUAUUAUUAUUACUGACGUGGUCGAGAAGUAAAGCCAUGCAUGUGAUGAAGCAUAAAUAAGAAAGCUAUGGCCCGGAAUUCAUUUUCACUAACACUUCAAUAUUCUUUUGAUCACUUUUGCAAACAUCAAUUUGUCUCUUCUUGUAUUCACCAUGGUUGAUGCCGUCGUUUCCCCUCUCGUGGAGCAGCUGAUUUCCUUCGCUGCUAAAGAGAUAAAACAACAGGUGAUCGAAGUUAUAUUAUAAAUACUUCUAAUGAUUUUAAUUGGUUUUGUUUUAUCGAAAACAUUAUCUUUGCUUUAUUUUACUUAUUUAGUCAUUUUAAAUUUUGAAAUUUGAAUUGAAUUUAAUUAAAAGGUGAUGUGGUUAGUAACCACUUAUAUUUAUUUUGUUUCAUUUAUAUUCUCAAUAACUACCCAUAUUUUUUAUAACUUAUUGUAAUCCCGUGUCUAAGAAAUUAUCAAAACCCACAAUUUUAACUCUACAUAAAUAUUCUAUGUUGAGCUAAGUUUUUGCAUAACAUUCAAGUUUGUCAAGUAGUCAUUAAUUUAAUGUUUAGUAAAAACUUAUCUCUGAAAAAUUUCAUAAUUUUCUUACAUUCUUUGAGUUUGGUAAGUGACCUCAUAUAAUUUCUUUUCAAUUUAAAUUUUAAUUUGGUUUCUAUAUAGUCUCUUUACUUAAUUUGUAUCAUUUAUGAUUCUUAGAUUUUGGGCUCCAACUUUCUAGGAUUUGAUAGUCACAUUUUAUGGCAUGCUUGGAUUGAUUUUCAUGAUUUUUAGUACUCGUUAAGUGACUUAGAAUUUGAAAAACGUUUGAAAGGAAAUCUGUUUUACGGUUCUGUUUUAAUUGACCUUUUAGUGGAAAUAAGAUGCUUAUAACUUAAUGUGGAUGGUUCGCAAAAUCAUGAAAUUUGGAUAGGAUUCACUAGAAAUAUGAGACUCUCCAUAAAGUUUCAUAAUUUUUAUUGGGUCUGGGCUGUUACAGGUGAUGCUUGUGACUGGUGUCGAGAAGGAAGUGAAAAGCCUUACGAGCCACCUUCAAGCCAUUCAAGCUGUGCUCGAUGAUGCAGAGGAAAAGCAAGUGAAGGACAAAGCUGUUAGACGUUGGCUGGGUAGGCUCAAGUACGCAUCCUACGACAUUGAAGAUGUGUUGGAUGAGUGGAUCACAGAUAGACACAAAUUGCAAAGUGAGGGUGGCGUUGAU